Non-coding RNA from Cordylochernes scorpioides, 49993 nucleotides. The record is from the annotation of a GenBank genome assembly. Lineage: Eukaryota; Metazoa; Arthropoda; Arachnida; Pseudoscorpiones; Chernetidae.
UAAUAUCGUUGUCUGUGGAUGGAGAAUGUAGGAUGAUUUCUUCGUAAAAUUCGGCGGGAGUUUCUUCAAUCUCCGAAAGGGGUUCUUCCAUUGCCGCUAAUAACAUAAUAUAGUUGUCCGUUGUUUGUGAAUUUAGGAUGAUUUCUUCGUAAAAUUCGGCGGGAGUUUCUUCAAUCUCCGAAAGGGGUUCUUCCAUUGCCGCUAAUAACAUAAUAUCGUUGUCUGUGGAUGGUGAAUGUAGGAUGAUUUCUUCGCAAAAUUCGGCGGGAGUUUCUUCAAUCUCCGAAAGGGGUUCUUCCAUUGCCGCUAAUAACAUAAUAUCGUUGUCCGUUGUUUGGGAAUUUAGGAUGAUUUCUUCGUAAAAUUUGGCGGGAGUUUCUUCAAUCUCCGAAAGGGGUUCUUCCAUUGCCGCUAAUAACAUAAUAUCGUUGUCUGUGGAUGGGGAAUUUAGGAUGGUUUCUUCGUAAAAUUCGGCGGUAGUUUCUUUAAUCUCCGAAAGGGGUUCUUCCAUUGCCGCUAAUAACAUAAUAUCGUUGUCUGUGGAUGGGGAAUUUAGGAUGAUUUCUUCGUAAAAUUCGGCGGGAGUUUCUUUAAUCUCCGAAAGGGGUUCUUCCAUUGCCCCUAAUAACAUAAUAUCGUUGUCUGUGGAUUGGGAAUUUAGGAUGAUUUCUUCGUAAAAUUCGGCGGGAGUUUCUUCAAUCUCUGAAAGGGGUUCUUCCAUUGCCGCUAAUAACAUAAUAUCGUUGUCUGUGGAUGGUGAAUGUAGGAUGAUUUCUUCGCAAAAAUCGGCGGGAGUUUCUUCAUUCUCCGAAAAGGGUUCUUCCAUUGCCGCUAAUAACAUAAUAUCGUUGUCUGUGGAUGGGGAAUGUAGGAUGAUUUCUUCGUAAAAUUCGGCGGGAGUUUCUUCAAUCUCCGAAAGGGGUUCUUUCAUUGCCGCUAAUAACAUAAUAUUGUUGUCUGCUCUGAUCUUUUCAAGAUGCAUAAAAUUAUCUUUGGUGUUUUUUAUUAACAAACUUUUUUGAACAGAAAGAUGUAAAAUAAUUAAUAAUAUGAAAGAGAGGGAAAAUAAAAAGAUGAGCGCAAUAAACAUUUUAAAGACAGAUUAAAAAAUAUAUAUAUAAAUAGCAUUGAUAAAAAAAAAAUAUUUAAAAUUAAAAAAAAAAAAUAUAUAUAUUUAAAUAUCUUAAUUUGAAAUUUGGAAAUAUAUAUUGAAUAAGGCGCGUGCGCCUUUAAAAUAUUAAUAUUUCAAUAUUUAUUUAUAUAUACAAAUUUAUAUUGGUUGAAGCGCGCGCCUCAAAAAACAUCUAAUAUAAAACAUCCGCUAGUAAAAUAUAAUCUUCAUUACACUUGUCCAAUUUCUAUAAGCCAUUAAAUGUGGCGCCCCUUGCCGUUAAAAUAUCAAUAAAUCAAUUCAACUUAUGAGCUUAAAAAUAACACUGCAUACCAAUUGGCUACGGACUCAAAUGAUAAUUGACCAAAUAACAUGAAUAGGACAAACACUAAGGUGAAUUUCUGCGAAGGGGAAGAUUGGGUCUUCUGAUCGGAGGGCAAGCACAACCUCAUCCACAUGAGGUGGCUUCUCGUUGCUAGUUGUCUUGCCAAGCCUGGCACCUCUCUGCCUGAUCAUCAUUGCCAGCAUGUGCUGCAGCUCAGCUACACUGGCACCUGCUUGGAGGGUGUUGGCAACACUGCCAGUCAGGGUCUGCAUGCCGGCAAGGUUUGUUAUUCCUAUGGCCUCUCUAAACUGCUGGCAUGCAGUAUGGUAGGUCACAAGCAGGGCAGUGUUGGUCAGCUCAGCAUCAGGUUCUAGGAAGGUGUCGUAUGAGCUGUUUAGCAGCUCAACAUUUGGAUUGUUUACCAUGAAGGCAACAGACUGAGUCACAACUUUCUUUGACAUCAGGUACAUCUCCAGAGCCUGUGGUGCUGCCUGCCCAAGGACAGAUCCCAUUAGGCGUGCACCUGCUGCAUCUGCCGCCUUAAACUCUGUUGCAGUGUUUGCCUCCAGCAGGAACGGGGCAACGUUGAUUUCAUUUGUGAGCCCUGAAGGGAAGUUGGUGAAGGCUACAGAGACACCUCUACCGUGAUUACCAAGUAUGUCUGUGCCUGCUGCACAGACUCUAAGGUGUCGAACGGGGCGGGGACCUGUUCCGCCAUACCUAUUGUAGCUUUAGACUUCUCACUGUUUCGUGUUCCCUUUUUCUUACCUAUUUUGAGUUUUUGAAGAAAGAGUUUGUUUUCACACGCAUAUUUAAUAAAAAAAAAAAAAAACAGAAAGAGCAAAAGACAAUUUCAUGCCUGAUGUCUUUAUUGGGUGAUGGGUUCUGGGUCUUUUUCUCAGUUGAAGGUUGAGGCUGUUGGUGGUGGUUAUUGUGAUGGGGUUCACAGGCUCAUCUAUUGUCUGGUCAUCUCCGGGCUAUCUGUCGAGCCUCACAGGUCUGUCUCCAUCACUGAGGGGCUCUUGGCAUCUCACUGAGGGACUCUUUUCAUCGGGGUGUAGCAGGUCACAUGGGGUGUGUAGACCAUAGGAAGGGCAGGGAGGUCUAUAGGCCUUUUUUUUUAAAACAAUUUUUCCAGCCCCUUUCCAGCUCCCACACCAGGCUUGGUGUAGUCCCUCACACACACUUCCUGGUCAGUGGUGAGCUCCUGUAGUAUGCCAUCUCCUUGAAGAUGUCCAUGGGGUUCUGGACCUGGGGUAAGACAAUGACAAUGAAAACGUCUUUAUUGACAUCUUAGUCAAUAGUACACUCCGGAGAGUUAAGAAAGACUAUUUACAAAUUCCUCAGAGAGAGUCAGAAUGACAAGGCGGCCCUGAGCCCGGAUAUUUUCUCGCAAAGAGAAGGAUCCAGGUCCAGGGCGCGCUCUAAGAGAGCGCCAAGUUGUUGGGCCAGAUUGGUUCUCUCAGUGGGCCGGAGUCGCGGGACGAAGCUCACCCUGUCCUUUAGAUCUAGGGUCGCAUCCACCAGAUCGAGGUGGUCGAUGCCUGAAUGGGACACAGGCUUCAGGUCGAUUUCCUCCAUGAAUUUUCCGUAAAGGGCCUGCGACCUCCUCCAACGGGUUAGGUCCGGGGUGUCCUCCACAUGUAUAGACUGUGGAGGCGGAGGUGUGGCCAUGGCCGGUGACGAUUCCAUGUCCUGGGGAGCGGGUGGUGUUGGCUCAGCAGGCCGAGGCGCAGGCAGUGGAGGUGUAGGCACUGCGGCUGGUGUUGUCCUCAGCUCAGCCUUGACCUGUCCGAGGACUUUAUAGAUAUUGCUGCCUGCUCCGGGCCUCAGAUCCAAGAUUUGUUUGAUAAGGCCGGCGAGAGCAUCGCCCUGCGGAGGUGACAGGAGGGGUCCAUGCUUCUGCGCCUUGGUCCUCGAGGAGAGGAGGUCUAGGACCUCCUCCCGCCCAAGACCAGGGCGUCCAUCCCAGCAAAGGGUAUAAAUAACAUGUACAUAAAAGAACAAAGCUUAAUUCUAAGUCCUAAUAUUUUUUUUUACAAAAAAAUGCAUCCAAAUAUUGCAAAAAUACGGCAUUUUUGCAGCCCCCCUGACAAAAAUUCACUAAAAGAGUUAAAUAUUCUAAAAAAUGUUUUGGUAUAUAUAUUGCUAAAUGUGUAACAAACAUGUAUAUAAAAAAGCAAGGGAGAAGUGGAGCCAUUUUGCCAUUUUCAAAAUUUGAUUGUGAAAUAAUAAAUAAAUGAGUAAAUAAGGACAAAAAUAAAGAAAAAAUAAUUAAGUAAAGAAAAGACAUAAUAAAAUAUUUUAAAUAACAAAUUAUAUAUAAAGAAUAUCUUUUUUCAAUAAAUUAAUUCUAUGUAUAUAGCAAGGGCAGUCUAUACUGAAAGCAUUAUGUUGUGUGUUCAAUUUAAGUGUAGGGUUUUUACUAUUAGCUUUUUUACAGUUUAUACAAUUUUCUGUUUUUGUACAUGAUUUGGAAAUGUGGCCCUUGCUACAACAUUUCGCACAAGUGUUUUCUGAUUCUUUACAGUUUUUAGAUUUAUGAAAAUCAAGACAUUUAGUGCAUCUAUUAACAAGAAAAAUUUCCGUCCAUUUGAUAAUUCUCCAUCCAUAUCUAAAUCUGUGUAAAUUAUUUUCAAUUGUUGAUCUAUUUUUCAAUUGUGAAAAUGUGUUUGAAUCAAUAUUUAUAAGCCAAUCAUAUUUGUUAAAUUUAUUUUUAUAUACACUAAAGGGUUUCAAAUCAGAAUUAGUUACAUUUAAACUUUCUUUGAAAUAAUCUAUAAUCUGUUCUUUGCCAAAAUCUUCUUCAACAUUUAAUAUUUUAAUAGUAGGAGACCUACCUUUGGGGACUUUUGGAGUUAGCUUAGACCUAAGAUGUUCAUUUUCAUUUAUGAAUUUUACUAUUGUGUUUACAUUUUCCAUUGUGGGAACUUCUAUGGUGCAUCCCUUUUUGUUUGGAAUAGCAUUUGCUCUAAUUAUUUUUAGAUUAGACAAAGAAAUAUUUUCUUUAAGGAAGUCGAGUGUUCUGGCUCCUCCAGGGCCGCGGUGUCGCUUCCAGGUGUCUUCUUGCUCCUCGUAGAUGGUGCGCUCUUUUGGGCCAGUUUUUCAACCGUAGAGCAAUUCUGGUGGUGUUUCUGCAGGUCUUUGAAGCUUUGUUGGCAGACCGUGCAGUCAAAAACCACGUUGUUGAUCUUGUGUAGAACACGAAGGUGCUUCACCUGAUCGUUGUGCUGCUUGUAGACACCACUGCGGGUUAUUCCCGCCAUCCUGUAACACUCGGGACAUUUAAAGACCUCAGGUAGCUGGAACGUCAUCCUAAACGGAUCACAAAGAGCGGGGGCAAGGUUGUGUACAUGUGUCACAUUUGUGUGAGAACCUGGUAGGCGUGUGGUGUCAGACGGGCUUACCACCAGAGCAUCGUGUUUGUGUUACACAGUGUGCAUCAGCGACCUGGUUGUUAUUACCAGGAGGUAAACAAACCUGGUCACGUGACACAACAAUGUGUGCAGAAACAUGCGCAAUAGGAUGGCUAAACUCAAGGCGAGACUUGGCGAUGUGGAAAUCCCACCAGAAGCACUGUCUCGCGAACAGGGCCCAGCAGAAGUGCCAGGCGACCCAACGGCGCCAAAAAUGUCCGACUUACCUUUAGAGCCGCCUCGAACCAGGUACUCACCCAAAUGUGAAGGUGGUUCCCACGUUGGAGGGUGAGCCGCCCUCUGUAGCUUUUGGGGGUUGCUCGUGGGCGUCUUGGAGUUCCUCUGGGGCUUGGGGAUACACUGGGGCAGGCGGCUGGUCCAUUCUUGGGGUGGUGCAAUACCAGGCCAACCUGCGGCGAGGGUGGAGCAAGUUCCAAGGGGGUCCGGAGGGACCAAAAUCCUGGGGUUAUUCCAUCAAAGGACUAAAGGAUUGAUGAAGCCAUUGGAAGACUUGUUUCGACAGGUGACCUCGUUGACUUUUCCCUGAUCAGACUUUUUAAUUAGGGUUUUCAGGUUUGGAGGGCCUGCCGAAGUCUUGCCAUGAUUUGGCCCCUAGCGACUGCGGGAAGGCUGAUCUCCUUCGGUGUUUUGCCGGCGUUGGGGAGCUUGAAAAAAACAAAGAUACAAAACUCAAAUGGAUUGAUUUCGGACCAUUUGCACUGUCCUUUUGUUUGAAUGUUGAGUUUGUUGGGGUGGUACAGUCUAUUUACUUGCGUUUUUCCGGGUACUGGGGUAUGGAUACGGCAUGGCGGGUGGUGACUCCUCGGUGGGCGUCAGGUUGUUCGGACACGUGCUGGCGGUAAGCCCGUCCAUCUCUCUGCCUGUGGCGGCGGCGUGGGCGUCAUCUCUCCCGCGGGUGGAGCUCCGGUCCUCGUCUCGUCGGGUAGACCUCGCUUCUUGGAGGGCAACCGUCAACUGCCAUAUAAUGGCCGCCAGAGUGCGUCUUGUCGCUUUUCUCUCCGCCAGCUUCUUGUCCUUGCCGUUCGUCGAUUGCUCUCGUCUUUCCGUCAUAAUCCUGUCGACUUACUGUAAUAUACGGGGUGAAUAUUACUCUUGGAAGUUGAUUGAUAAUUGUUGAGGUGUUGGCGCAGUCGUGGUGCUGAGUGGACAGGUGUUCACAACAGGGGAAAGUAGUCGAGAGUACAUAAUUGGUGGUUGAAAUAAAGGCAACUGAAUCGAGGGAGAGAAGGGCUUGAAAGGUUGAGCGGAUUAAUUAUUGACUGUUCAAUUACAUGAUGGAAUAUUUGACUUAUCUGAUAGGUUGAGGCGGUGAGAAUGACUCCAAAGUGCCAGGUGCUAACUCGGUGGUGUCCAGCUAACUACUCUAGGUGCUACCUCGGUGGGAUCCAAGUUCCUUCUGACAAUUCUGUGUUCUCGAUUUAAAACGAAAGCUCUUCUUCCUUCUCAUUGGUUGACCUGCGUGACGUGGAAGUCUGCUAUAGGCUCGAAGCUAAAUGAGCUGCUCUGUGAUUGGUCCGUUUUAACUCUUUGUAUUUGGACGUGUUCUGACCUGACCAGGAAGUGCUAAGUUGUUGAACUCUUAACUUUUACGAGUUCCGGGAUAAUAAAAACCUGUUAAUGAUCAUUCUUUCUCUAGGCCUUCUCUCUCCAAUUUGGUUAAGCCUUGUUCUUUAUUAAAACUUGAAACAUACAUUUCAUACAUAUUGGGUCGGGUUUGCAUCUAGCUAUGUACAAAUUAUGACAUAUAUUUAUAUAUAUAUAUAAAAAUAAAUAGUUGUUUAGUUUUAUAGUUUAGUUUUGUAUUAAAAUUAUCUUUAUUACUUUGAUUAUUUAAAUUCAAAUUAUAAAAUUUGUAAAUUGUUAUUAUUUAAUAGAGAGAGAAAAAAAAAAUUCUUUACUUCUUACGCAUCAUCCAUAUAUAUUUAUAAUUAAUAACAAUAAAAUUUAACAACGUAACGUCUUUUGCAAUCGGCUGUUACCCGUCAUUUAGACAUACUCUAAUUUAUAUAUAGAAUAAUAGAAGUGAUGAUAGAAGAGAUAGAAGAUGGGGCUCGACCUGUUCCGCCAUACCUAUUGUAGCUUUAGACUUCUCACUGUUUCGUGUUCCCUUUUUCUUACCUAUUUUGAGUUUUUGAAGAAAGAGUUUGUUUUCACACGCAUAUUUAAUAUAAAAAAAAAAAAAACAGAAAGAGCAAAAGACAAUUUCAUGCCUGAUGUCUUUAUUGGGUGAUGGGUUCUGGGUCUUUUUCUCAGUUGAAGGUUGAGGCUGUUGGUGGUGGUUAUUGUGAUGGGGUUCACAGGCUCAUCUAUUGUCUGGUCAUCUCCGGGCUAUCUGUCGAGCCUCACAGGUCUGUCUCCAUCACUGAGGGGCUCUUGGCAUCUCACUGAGGGACUCUUUUCAUCGGGGUGUAGCAGGUCACAUGGGGUGUGUAGACCAUAGGAAGGGCAGGGAGGUCUAUAGGCCUUUUUUUUUUAAAACAAUUUUUCCAGCCCCUUUCCAGCUCCCACACCAGGCUUGGUGUAGUCCCUCACACACACUUCCUGGUCAGUGGUGAGCUCCUGUAGCAUGCCAUCUCCUUGAAGAUGUCCAUGGGGUUCUGGACCUGGGGUAAGACAAUGACAAUGAAAACGUCUUUAUUGACAUCUUAGUCAAUAGUACACUCCGGAGAGUUAAGAAAGAUUAUUUACAAAUUCCUCAGAGAGAGUCAGGAUGACAAGGCGGCCCUGAGCCCGGAUAUUUUCUCGCAAAGAGAACGCCAAGUUGUUGGGCCAGAUUGGUUCUCUCAGUGGGCAGGAGUCGCGGGACGAAGCUCACCCUGUCCUUUAGAUCUAGGGUCGCAUCCACCAGAUCGAGGUGGUCGAUCCCUGAAUGGGACACAGGCUUCAGGUCGAUUUCCUCCAUGAAUUUUCCGUAAAGGGCCUGCGACCUCCUCCAACGGGUUAGGUCCGGGGUGUCCUCCACAUGUAUAGACUGUGGAGGCGGAGGUGUGGCCAUGGCCGGUGACGAUUCCAUGUCCUGGGGAGCGGGUGGUGUUGGCUCAGCAGGCCGAGGCGCAGGCAGUGGAGGUGUAGGCACUGCGGCUGGUGUUGUCCUCAGCUCAGCCUUGACCUGUCCGAGGACUUUAUAGAUAUUGCUGCCUGCUCCGGGCCUCAGAUCCAAGAUUUGUUUGAUAAGGCCGGCGAGAGCAUCGCCCUGCGGAGGGGAAGGGGACAUAGCAGAAUUCGUUCUUCAAACUCUUUUAAAAAGGCAGCGGAACUGUUCCGGGACAUCUAUUCUUCUGUUUAUGCUGUCUUUACAACCAGAAACCAAGGAUUCCAAAAUUAAUCUUUCCCCUUUGUAUCUGAUGUUGUUGUAAUGGCAGAUGGGGUUAUCCAGAUCAAAACUAUGUCCUGUGUUUAACGUGUGUUGGUACAGAAGGGAUCUGGGGUCUUUUGAGCGGAUAUUGUAUUUGUGUUCUUUGAUUCGGUUUUCGAUUUUUCUGCCUGUUUCUCCUACAUAAACGGAUUCACAAUCGUUGCAGGCAACCGAAUAAAUCGCGUUGCUUUUUUGUUGAACAUCAUGUUUAACUCCUGGUUUGGUAAUGGGGUUCCUCAGUAUAUGUCCUGUUGUGCUUGUGCUGCGAUAGGUGAACUGGAUACCAUAUUUCCUCAAAUCAUGGGCUAUUCGCUGAUUCGCUGAUUCUAUUGACCGCGAGGGUAACCUUCUUGAACGGGAUGAAUGUAUGUUUUCUUAUAAAGUCUGGUGGGUAUCCAAAUGUUCGUAGGUUAUUGUAAAUAUUCUCUUUUUCUUUUUCUUUUAAAGCUCGAAGGGAACAAUGGGUAUGGAGUCUCUUAGUUAGGGUUUUAACAACUGAUAUUUUGUAAGAGACUGGACUGUAGGAGUUAAACGGGAUAUAUGAUGGUUUGGCGGUGUCUUUGUAAUAGACAGUUGUUUGAAAAUUAUUCCUAUUUCUAAAAAUGAGGGCAUCCAGAUAAGGUAAGAUGUGGUUUUUAUAUACACUAAAGGGUUUUAAAUCAGCAUUAGUUACAUUUAAACUUUCUUUGAAAUAAUCUAUAAUCUGUUCUUUGCCAAAAUCUUCUUCAACAUUUAAUAUUUUAAUAGUAGGAGACCUACCUUUGGGGACUUUUGGAGUUAGCUUAGACCUAAGAUGUUCAUUUUCAUUUAUGAAUUUUACUAUUGUGUUUACAUUUUCCAUUGUGGGAACUUCUAUGGUGCAUCCCUUUUUGUUUGGAAUAGCAUUUGCUCUAAUUAUUUUUAGAUUAGACAAAGAAAUAUUUUCUUUAAGGAAUUGCACGAUGUUGGUAUUUUCUGGGAGUUUUGAUUCAAUUACUAUUUUUCCAAUUAGAUUAGGGGAACUUUUUGGCUGGGCUAUGGAGGUUGGUGCAGUUGGUAGGUUAGAGGCCAAAACUGCACUGUAACUUUUCUCACUUUUUUCCAUUAAUAUUUUCAAUUUUUCAUCGAUUAGAGCAUUAUUUUCACUAAUUAAGUCUUGAGUAGAUUUUUUUAAAUCAUCAAUUUUUUCUUCAAAGUUUUUUUGAAUAUUUUCAAUAAUAUUUUCUUGAUUCUUUAAUAAAUCAUCCAAUUUAGUAUUAAAAGCCAUAUUUUCUACAUUUUCUGGUAAAAAUUUUAUAAAUUCAUUCAUAUCUGUUUGAAUUAAAUUUAAAAUCUUUUUUUUGAGCAUCCAUUUUCGGAUUUUUGGCAUUUAAGAAUGUGGAAAUAUUUCCCAUAAGUGUUUCCAGCAUAGGAAACAUUUCUCUACCCAAAGAAUUUAUUUCCAUUUUUAAAUUAAAAAGUAUACCAAAAAAAUGGCACACAAAAUAAAAUCUCGAUGAACGCAUCGAGGUUGUUUCUUGUUGUGUUCCAUGUUGAUAGUGUGGAGGAUUUCCUGCUUGAUGAUGUUGAGGAAGCGGAGGACUCCUCGAUGGCAGUCAUCAUCUCGAUGUCCUGUGCAGAGGGCCGAGACUUCGCUGAUUGAGGUCUUACGGAACCCCUAGGUGCCCGCAAGGGCGGAGCAGGUGUCACAGGUGGAGGGGCAGGUGGCGUCUCCUCCGCAGGUGAGGCCGGGGGCGCUGUUGGUGAUGGCCGGGGUGCGCCUGCUGGUUGGAUCGCAGCUCGGGCCGCGGGCGAAGCGCCGGAGAUCGCCAAGGGAGGCGCCGGUGCUGGAUGCUGAGACGUUGGCCUCUGAGGCGGUGCAGGGGCGGUCGAUGGUGGGACGCCGGCAGGGGAGGCUGGUGGUGCCGAACUGGUGGUGUUAACCCGCCCUGCCAGUAGGGGGCAGUUGGCCCUGAGGUGCCCCUGGCCGUGGCGUCUGGAACACUUGAUGCCGGUGGACAGAUAAGCGGGCCAAGCCUCGCCUUUGAUGGUGAUGUCGAGGCGGGUGGGGAGCCUCUCGGUGGUCACUCCUUCGUGGAAGACGAUGAACGCCUCAUGGCUGCUGUCGGUGUAGGUGUAUGGGCCGGCCUUCAUCAUUUUGGGCGCGAUGGAUGUAGUGCGCCCAUAGGGCCUAAGGGCGUUGAUGAUGGCUGCGUCCUCCACGAAGAAGGGGAGGUUGCCCACCGUUAUCCUCUCCGCUCUUUUGCGGAAAGGGAAAGCCCUGAGGAGAGUGCCCUCAACCUCAAGGCCGUUGUUUAUGAGGCGCUCGGCGAGGCCUCUGUUUGCCAGCCCCAGGAGUUGGUGCCCGUUUACCUUGGAGACUUGACGACUCCGGCGGUUCCUCCAAGUAGCCUGUCCAGCGCCCCCAGGUAAUGGAAGGGCUGCAGUUCGGGGCCGUGUUCCAGGUAGACGCAGUGCUCCUCAGCAGAGGACGCCUGCCGCGCCCUGGCCUCCGCGAUGUGGGCCCUGGUUGUCGGGAUCUCCUGUGCCCGCGGCACCGAACGCGCUGAUGAUUGCGUUCGGCGACUGCUCCUGGCACCUCCGAUGUUGGAGGAUGGUGCAGUUGCUGUAGGCGAAUUCGAUGAUUCGCGGCGCCUCUUCUUGGUCUUCACGACAGUAAAGUCAUUGUCUGUCCCGGGGUUCAUGUCUUCGUCACAAUCUGCCCAGUUUCUAAUAGCAAGGGCAGCGCUAUUGGAUGACGAAGUUGCCGCUAAGCCGGACGUGACGUCGACGCGCGCGGCGGCCAGAUUUACAUUUCCGCCGUUAGCCGGCGGAUUUACAUACUCUUGAGUAUUAGAGUUUUCUUUAUAGAUUUCUCUAUAAAGUUCGUUUUUCGCUGAAUUCUCGCUACCGGUUGGAGGUGGGAUGCUGGGCCUUCCAGGCCUUUGUCCAGCAGAUCCUGGGCUCCUUGGCGAUGCCGAAUUUGGCAUGUUUAAGGAUGCAUUCUACAGCAGUCAGUUGGCUGUCAGAAUUGGUCCUCCGGGACUCAUGCCUCCCCUGCCACAGCCUUCUCACAUACAGGUGAGCUCCUCUUCAAUCAUUAACAUUGUUCCCCCCUACAGCAGACAUCCUUUCAUUCCAUUUACAUUUAUUUAGACCACCAGCUAGCUAUAUAAAACCAAUUACAUUAUAUUUGUCUUCCGCAUCCUCAACAUAUAUAUAUAUAUAUAUAUAACAAUAAAUAGUUGUUUAGUUUUAUGGUUUAGUUUUGUAUUAAAAUUAUCUUUAUUAUUUUGAGUAUUUAAAUUCAAAUUAUAAAAUUUGUAAAUUGUUAUUAUUUAGUAGAGAGAGAGAGAGAGAGAAAAAAAAAUCCUUUACUUCUAACACAUCAUUCAGUUAAUUAUAUAUUUAUAAUUAAUAACAAUAAAAUUUAACAACGUAACGUCUUUUGCAUCGGCUUUUACACAUCAUUUAGACAUACUCUAACCUAUAUAUAGAAUAAUAGAAGUGAGAAUAGUUAGUGAAAAGAGAGAAAGACAGAACCAUGCACUUUUAGUCAAACUAAUAAUAAGAAAGAGAAAAGUUUUGUAAUGAAGGUAGAUAAGAUAUAUAUAUAUAUAUAUAUAUAUAUAUAUACUAGUAGAAAAGCCCGUCCAAGGACGGGAUCGGCUAGAGCAGGUGGAUUGAGAGGUUUGAAUCGGUUCAAGUUUGACUUUUCCUUUGGAACAGCAUUAAUGAAAAGUUUUACUGUAUGUCGUUUGUUCCAAUUCGAAAUACUUUGCUCUACAUUUUGGGCAAACUUGAUCAAGUUGGCCACAAAAGUGCAGGGGAAUUUGAUCUUCCUCGAAACAUGUCCCUGUUGGCAAAGGUAGAUUAUCUCCCUGUCGAAUUCUUUGCAUCCUCAGCCUACUGUUUUCCCUUUGAAAUAUGGUGUCAGGGAGUCGCUCAAGGACUGGCUUCAGCUGCUCAAGAGCCAAGGAUAUUUUCUUCGGUGAUUCUUCCUCCCGAGAGCUUUCCUCCUGCGCUCUGGGAACAGGAGGGAGGGGCAAGGUAGGAACAGCUAAUUUAGUUUCGCUAACUUUGCUGGAGAAGGACAUUUUUCCCGCUGGUGAAUUUGCGACGCUUGUAGCAGGCGUGGACACCUCGGGUGCCGAAAUAUUUUUGGAGGGGGUCUCCUGAGGCUUGCCAAGUGCAGCUGGGGGAGUCACGGUAAGUGCUGCAGAGGAUGACGAUUGAGUGGUAGGAGGAAGGUGCGCUAGGUCCUGCCUGGGUGUUUGUUGAUGAGUGGGACGUUCCUCCCUGUCUCUCCUGGGGCAGCUGGCUAGCCGAUGUCCCUGGCGAUGGCACAUGCUGCAUUUCACGCUUAGAGGGGGAGAGGGUGGGACAUAGUUAGGUUAGGUGGGGUUCUGGGUGAAUCAUGGCAUACAGUGGUCACAAAGUGUCCUUGUUAGCGUCCAUGACUUCAUCUAGCUCCAUGAAGUUACAGAGGGUGUCCGCGAGGUUCUUCACCUCCCCUACCAGGCACUUGAUCAGCUCUGUCUGCUGCUCAAUGAAGCAGACAAGGUGCAAGAUUUGAGGAAGGGCUGGCCGAGAGAGAGCAGGAUCUGGUAGUGGCGGGAGAGGACCAUGUUAUUCUCCUCCACCAGAGCCAUGAUGUCCACCGAGGGUUGAAAAGGCUUGGAGGCCUUCUUCUUGGAGGGAUCCAUGAUGGGAGAGCAGAAAGGCAGAGAUGUUUCCAUAGCAAGUGCUAUCUGGAAACUGAUCUCUGAGAAACUGAUGAGGUGAUCUGAUUAUACAAGGUCAUGGAGACUGAAAAUUCAUGGAUUAAAUUUAUAAUCUUGGUAGGGUUGUAAUAUAAGUCCUGUCUUGAGGCUCCCAUACAUUCCAAGGGGUGGUCCUGCAGAUGGUGCAUUGUGGGAAGACACCAACCUGGAAAAGGAGCGAUUCUUUCUAUUCCGGGUUAAUUGGACUUUUAAAGCAAGGUCUUCUAACCCCUAUGGCAGAAUGCCACUUCCAGUGGCAAGGGACCCUAGGAUCUGGCAGCAAAGAUGUCUUGCAGGGGUGGAGGAAACAUAGAGAUGGCAGGGGAACAGCGUCUGGGAGCAGUGAGUGGCAGGAGUCUUGGCUGGGGAGGAAAUCCAGUAGGUGAGGACAAUGAAGGCAGCAGGUCCUGGAAGCCUAGAAUUUGAGAGCCCUAGACCUCAGGAAAGAGCAGCCAGAGGCUCUCGCCUCAUGUUUGUCCGGAAGGCCCUUGGCACAGCAGUUGGCACACUUGGUGGUGUGCUGGUUGGCUAGGGAUGGACAGGCACGGCCCUCGUGACCUUCUUCACCGCAGUGGAAGCACUUUGGAGCCCUGGAGCAUUGUCCGGAGUUGUGACUAAAAUAACAAUAUUGUCAUCAAAGUUCUGUUUUAGAUUAUUGAGUUUGAAAGCCAAAUUUCCUUAAUUACUUAUGUUGGCCUCAAGGUCUACAUUUGUAUCAAAUGUUGAGGACAAUGGCACUUCCAAUAUUACAAUUCUUAUAUGUAACAUUGUGAUUUAUCCAUGGUCCAGGGGACAAUUUGGUGGGGGAUGUUUUUUUCUUUUUUACUUUGAAAAAUCUUCUUCAACGUAUUUCCAAGAAAUUCUGCAGCUUUUUUGACGACUACUUUAGCUGCAGCUUUUGCGGCGGAUCCUCCCACUUCUGCUGCCAAGGCCUGCUUUGGAGGAGCAAAGGCAAAACAGCCAAAACCACCGCUUCUUCCAUUGAAGGGUGGACCGCCUCCUCCUUCUUGAUUCUUUGUCUCCAGAUUGGUUCUCCUCCAGUCUCUUGGCCACCUCUUGUGGAGGUAGGAGGCCAGAUGCUGCGCCAGGUCGUGGAAGUUGGUCCUCAGAGCAGCGUGGUACUGGAGCUGCUCGACCCCCACCAGCUGGCCAUUGAGCUCCAGGGCCUCUCCGCUCACCUCCAGGAACCUCCGGAACACCUCCCUCAGCUCCUCCACUUGGCCUGAGGGGAACUGGCCCACCUGGGAGUCCUCCAGGAAGGCCUGGCAGUAGGCCAGGGGGCCGGCGUUCACCUUUCUCCAGCUGGGAUCUGGUCUCCACCAGGGUCCCGUCCUGCAGAGAGAUCCGGUAGUCCACUACCAGUUUAUUGCCCAGACUAGGGGUAGCUGAUCCCUUGCCCUGCUCCACCACUCUCUUGCGGACUCCUCCAUCCCCGGAGAGGUCCUCCCAGAUCUCAGCCUGGUCUUGGGUGUCCAUGGGGCCUGAUGAUGGGUAGGCCAUGUACAGCCAGUGAGUGUUCUGGCCAAAACGUCCAUACCAACCAGGGGUCUUGUUGUUGGCAAUGGCAUACUCCAGGCUUGGCAUGGUGAAGAUGUAUUUCACUCCGCCUAAAGACGCGGCGUCACCCAAUCCGGAGAGGAAUAGGGAGAUUGGCUCCGGAUUGUGGGUUCCCGCGUGCUUCAUUGCGCGGAUGAAGUCUCUUUCAGGGACUGUGGUACCACGGGGGCUCAAAUCUGAGAGCUCAAGAACUCUCGCGAUGGCGUGGAGCCCCGCGUAAUAUGCAAAUGUCCCGGGGGAAAUCCUUUUGGCGAAGGAGGUGCCGGAUGCAGUGAGGCGCAGGUAGGUUUCCUCCACCAGGGUGUUCCACCCGAAGAACCCUGGACGCACAAAGUUAUAGCCACGCUUUAUGCUACCACUGUUAGAAUGGUUUUAGGUUUUAUUUUAAGCUGUAUUUUUGCUUGUAUGUUUCUUUUAAGACACACAGGUCUUACAGAGGAUUCUCCUUGGGGUUACAAGGCGGAGAAUGUUUUGUUGGUCCAGUUCCACAGGCGGUCCUGUCGGUGUCUCGGAAGAAAUCGGCUCCUGGGCGGCUGGCUGAGUCGAGUGUUCCGGCUCCUCCAGGGCCGCAGAGUUGCUUCCAGGUGUCUUCUUCUUGAUCCUCGUAGAUGGUGCGCUCUUUUGGGCCCGUUUUUCAACCGUAGAGCAAUCCUGGUGGUGUUUGGCGCUUCUGCAGGUCCGCAGGUCUUUGAAGCUUUGUUGGCAGACCGUGCAGUCAAAAACCACGUUGUUGAUCUUGUGUAGUACACGAAGGUGCUUCACCAGAUCGUUGUGCUUUUUGUAGACACCACUGCGGGUUACUCCCACCAUCCUGUAACACUCGGGACAUUUAAAGACCUCAGGUAGCUGAUUGCUGAGGUAAACCAGGUAACCAGGUAGUUCCAGGCCGGCAGGGAGUCAGGAAGUAGGGGCAGGGCUGUCGGGCUGAAGUCUUGUACUCCAAGCAGAAGGGCUGUCUGUAGCCUGUGUAGCAUAAAAGCUGGACAGGAGAAGAGGAGGUGAUCCACAGUCUGUGACUCUUCCAGGCAGUGAGGACAUGUUGGAUCUCUAUGCCAGAGAUCUGCCAGAACGUGGCCGUGACCGGUAAGGAUGGUAGUGGUGGCCAUCCCAAGACGUAUUUUGGACAGGAAUGACCUAAGGCGGAUUGGGGAGGUCGCAAAUCUUUUUAGUUUUCUGUUAUGGUAAUCUUGGGUGUAGACUAAGGUCCAAGCUUCCAGAGCAGAUGAGUGGGCACGGCUGCGGGCAAAGCUUUGGGGAAUGAUGGAGUAGGAUUGUUCCAGGUUAGAGAUUGCUGCAGUCUUUGCUGCCUGGUCAGCCAGUUCAUUGCCUGAAAUUCCACUGUGGCCCUUUAGCCAACAGAGGCUGACCUGAGGUGCUUGGUCUAGCGCUAGAAUUAUCUCCGCAAUUAGAGCCGUUUGGGCAGGACCAGGAGUACAUAUAGUGGCCAGUGCAGAUCUGCAGUCAGACGCUAUAGCAGUGCUGUAGUUGUAAGGUUUUAUUCUUACGUCUCAUUAGAACAUCUAUAUCCUGAUCCUAGCUAACUCAGGGGUUAAACCCAGGUACAUACAUAUUUGUAAUUUAUUAUACAUAGUAAUAACAAUACGCCUUUUUUGAAUAAUAACCACUGUAGAUUAUAUUUUAAACACAUACAUUCAAAAUCUAUAACACACACCAAGGUUUUACAUGUGAUAUGUGGUUAAAUAUGAAUAUCAACACACAUUGUUCAAUAUCCACACUCGUUUUAUUCGGCAUAAGAAAAAUUUUACACAAAAAUGAAAACAUUCUUUAUAUGUGGAUAGCAUCAGUGGGCAUAGGGAUAUUGGGACAUUAGAUUAUCUCAUCUUACAAAAUUUUUAAAUCCUAUGAAGAAGUGACUGAGAAUCUACGACUUGGUAAUUGGUAAUAAAUUGACUUACCUAGUAUCUCGACUACAUACCUCUCCUGAUAAGAAUUCUAUCUGUUCCUUCCGAAAGCUUGCCCCCAGCCCCGUUGGACGCUCGAUAAAAACUAAAAUCUAGACUGCCGUCUUUUCCCUACAGCGCCCUCAAUCUCAAUCAUUUCCUACAGAGUAAUAAAACUUGAAUAUACAAAAAUUCUCGGAAUAUUAAAAAUAAUAAUAUUAUUAUAUUUUAAAAAAUUAAGGAAUAAAAUAAUAUUUUAUUAUAUUUUUAUUUUAAAGGAAAAAUUAUGAAUUAGUAAAUAUACUUGCUCGACUUAUGAGAAAUCAAUUUAGAAUAAAAUAAAUAUUAACGGAAAUUUAAAAUAUAUCUUUCUUAUUGAGAGGUAAUUUAGAUUAACAAUGAAAUCAAAUAAAAUUUAAGAUGCCUGCCCCUCUGGGAAAUUUAUAUACUAAUUUCUUCUUUAAGAAAUCCAAAAAUAUUACUAAAUAUGCCCCAUCUAUCAAAAUGUGAUGUCACAAGUUAUAUACAAAAUUAAAAGAAGGAAGAAAGGAAAGAAAAAAAAAAAAGGAGGUGAAGAGAUGGUUUGGUUUAACAAAGACGAAUGCUCGAAGUCCUUUUCUUUCUUGUCGAGGCGGCUUCUCCACUGUCCAUCAGCUUUCUGUUUAUGCUGUGGGUGAACUUCUGCUUCUGUUUGCAUCGGGCUUCUGGCUACUUAAUCAGGGCCGAUGUCAUCCUCCUACAGCAGAUCUUGGGAUACGCGUCCAGGGCUGUGUCCUCCCCUGGCAGAUCUUGGGAUUCACGUCCAGGGCUGUGUCCUCCCCUGCCUUGGCCUUUGAACCACCGUCGGCCAUUGCUGUGGGACUUCCAUCUGGACACCAAACACUUUCGGCGAGACACUGCGUGUAUAUAUAUAUGAUGUAAAAGAAUGUUUACAUCUUUGUUGGGUCUGUUUGGUGGAAAAUCUGACCCAACAAUUCCUCCCCUGCCAGAGUAAAACAAAAUGUGUUUAUUCCAAUUCAGAUCUGUUCUUACUCUAAGAGAAAUAUGAAAUUGGGAGAAAUGCAUUUUUUUUUUUUAUGAUACCAGUAUGUAAUCACCGACACUCAGGCAAGGGGGAAACAAACGGGCCAUGGAACUGUCCACUUCCCUGAAGGUCUUGUGGAUCGGGGAACCUCGAAGAAUGAAGUCGAGUCUUGUGUAGACACUCUGCGUCUUGUCCAUGUGUCAGGUUUUCCGGUCUCGUUUUUAACUCCUUUGAUGAAAUUCUCGAUCAAGGAAAAGAGUGUUUCCCUGUCGGGUGCAGCUGUCCACUUUCCAUCCCACUCUUCCUGAAAGUAAGUGAGGGAUUUUCAGGGCGGGCGCUGCUGGAGUUCAUCAACUGGCUGUGAAGCUGGAGGAGGGGUGACCGGAGUAUCCUGUGGCAAGUGGGCAGGGUCGUCAGGUGGGGCGGCUGCUUGAAGAUCAACGCUGUCCAAAACCUGCGGCGUUUGCACGUUGGGAGGGUCGCUAUUUACGACCGGCAGCCGUAGGUUGUCUGUUGCUUCCUCUUGUUGGACCAAGGGACUCUGACGGCUGUGCAGGGAUGGAUGCUGGAGGGGCGUAUUUCUUCAGAGGAAGUACCCCUUUGAUCUUCCUCGGCGGCGUUCUCUGGUAGGGGGGGGGACAAAAGUUGUUUGGCCCGCUUCGCUGGUAGCCAAACUUGUCCCGUGAGCCUCCGGUCUGAAGGGUGUAGUCUCGGCGGAGAGGUCACUCACAGGGGGCGGGGGUGUUUUGUUGGUCCAGUUCCACAGGCAGUCCUGUCGGAGUCUCUGAAGAAAUCGGUUCCUGGGCCGCUGGCUGAGUCGAGUGUUUCGACUCCUCCAGGGCCGUAGAGUCGCUUCUAGGUGUCUUCUUCUUGAUCCUCUUAGAAGGUGCGCUCUUUUGGGCCCGUUUUUCAACCGUAAUCAUGCCAUAGCAAACUCUUUCAAAAUCUGUAGAGAUAUUUUGCCCAUAGAAGAGAAGCAAAAAAUACUUUUGAUUCCAGCAGGUUUAAAUACAAAUUGAAAUAAGAUUAAUAAACUAAUGUAAAUAUGUGAAAGAGUUGUAUAAAAGUGAAUUCCUGCUCCGCCUUUGGAAGGAGGGAUGAAGAGCACCUCGUUGCUGGCCUGCAGAGGCAGGCCAGGCCAUUUCUUCCCUAGUCUCUUCAUCAGCAGGUCCACUUCCCUGAAGGUCUUGUGGAUCGGGGAACCUCGAAGAAUGAAGUCGAGUCUUGUGUAGACGAAGGUCUUGGUGGCGUCGAUCUUCUGCCAGGGAGCGAGGAGGCUGCUAUGGAUUUUUUCUGCAUCUUCAUUGAUUCCCUUGAUGGCUUCCUCAGGGUUUCUUGUCUUGAUAAAUCCGGUGGGUACUCCAAGGUGACAGUACGUGUCCUCUUCUCUCAUUGCUGAGAUCGGCUGUUCUUGGAUGCAGAAGGUCCUGGUCAGGGUAGUCCUCUUUUUCCUGCAGUCCAAGUGAAGAGUCGCGCAUUUGGGGCCCUUGAAGUGGAGUCCGAUCUUUCCCGCCAGAUCGCCGGUGGUGUCCAGGGGCGCUUGUAGAGACUCCUUGUCCUUGACCAUGAUAAGGAGGUCAUCGGCAUAGGCCAGCACCGACACAUAGUGCCCGAGUAAGCAGACACCAUGGUCCUUCGCCAUCGAGGCGAGGGUGCAGACUAUUACCUCUAUGGCCACGUUGAAGAGGGUUGGGCUUCCAGGGCAGCCUUGCUUCACCCCGCGUUUAAAGGGGAUGGGCAAUGUGGUUCCCAGCAGGGUCCUGAUCUAGGUAGAGGAGUUCGUGUACAGGUCCCUGAAUACAGCGAUUACCUUCUUAGGGAUACUAAAUGCAUCUAACACAUUGAAGAGGUUUUCGUGCGGUACCGAGCCGAAUGCAUUUUCAAGAUCCAGCCAGGCGAAGCAAGCUUGUCUGCUGGUUCUCUUGGUCUCCUCGAUGGCACUCUGGACCACAAAAUUAUGUUCCAGGCACCCCUCGAACUCCAUGAAGCCCUGCCUUGGAGAGCUGUCCCGUCGUCGCUGCCCAUCUCCUGAGCUUAUCAGCCAGGACCGCGGUGUAAAGUUUUGCGAUCGUGUUGCCCAGCGUGAUAGGCCUCCAGUUCCCUAGGUCCUCGGCGUCCCCUUUCUUGUGGACCAAGAUAGAGGAGCUUUCCUUCCAUGAAGGGGGUACCGCCCUCAUCUGGAAGAUCUGGGUGAGGAUGGUGGCAUUGGGAUCCACCCGUUUCAGUUCCUGGUAGCUGAUGCCAUCGGGACCAGGAGCAGUGUUUCCCAUCUUGAGAAGGCGGUACCAUACUGCGUUGGAAGAGAUGGGUUCUUCCAACUGGGCUCCGUCCUGGGGGGCGAAGUCCUUGAGGAGAUCUGGGUCGGGGCUGAACUCGGUGUUGUCCCCAACCAUGCGUUUCUCGAAGUGUUCUUCGAUCAUUUGGAUGGGGAUGGUGCAGCCCGGGGAGCGUUGGCCCAAUUUUGGCAUUUAAGAAUGUAGAAAUAUUUUCCAUUAGUUUUUCCAACACAGGAAACAUUUUUUUUCCUAUUGAAUUUAUCCCCAUUUUUAAUUUAAAUAAUGUAUUACCAAAUAAUUUGGCAUACAAAAUAAAAUUACCAACCUUAAAUUAAUUGGAAUAUUUUGUAAACAAACCAUUAUACGAGUCACCACAGAUUCUGUACAUCGUAUCAAAACUUCCAAUGAGAUUUCUCUACACACUGCUUGAAUCUCAUUCCAAAGAAUGUCUAGGUUACGUGGUUUACGUUUGUACACCCCAUCUUUUACUGUGCCCCACAAGAAGAAAUCCAGUGGUGUAAGGUCUGGAGAGCAUGCUGGAAACUCGAUUGGCCCCCUGCGUCCUAUCCACUGGCCCGACAAAUUUUGAUCCAGAUAAGCUCGUACAUCCCUGUGAUAGUACGGCGGAGCACCAUCUAGUUGAAAAUAAAAAUUAUCAUUACCGUAUAAUGCACGAAUGGCAGGAAAUAUGGAAUCAGCAAGCAUUGUUAGGUAAUUAAUACCAGUUACAGUGCCUUCAAAUCGAAAAGUAUACAUUUUUUUGAAGCACCCUGUAUUAGGGGGCGUUUUGUUGGUCCAGUUCCACAGGCAGUCCUGUCGGUGUCUCGGAAGAAAUUGGCCACUGGCUGAGUCGAGUGUUCCGGCUCCUCCAGGGCCGCAGAGUCGCUUUUAGGUGUCUUCUUGCUCCUCGUAGAUGGUGCGCUCUUUUGGGCCCAUUUUUCAACCGUAGAGCAAUCCUGGUGGUGUUUGGCGCUUCUGCAGGUCUUUGAAGCUUUGUUGGCAGACCGUGGCUGCCACCAAGGCUGAUCUUCUUCGGUGUCUUACCGGCGUUGGGGAGCUUGAUAGUAAUGUCUCCCAACGUUGGGUUGCGGACCCACUAAAUGCCGAUCCUUUUUGAGAGGCGUCGGGAAGCGUUUCUGGCAUCACUGCAGAGUGAGGUGAUGUCUCCACCAACCCUGGCAAAAUCACCGUCAAGUUUCCCCGACAGAUACCCUGCCAGGUCCUCUUCCAGUGCAGGCCGUCCCAGCUUCCUCUCCGCAACUCUUUUAAGAAGGCUUUUGGCGAGUGCAGAGGUUUCAGAGUCUGGGCUCGUGAGGAGCCGGAAGGCGUGUUGGAUCUUGGCUAAAUCGGUCCUGUCACCAAACGGCACCAUUCCUGCUCCCCCUUUGGAAGGAGGGAUGAAGAGCACCUCGUUGCUGGCCUGCAGAGGCAGGCCAGGCCAUUUCUUCCCUAGUCUCUUUAUCAGCAGGUCCACUUCCCUGAAGGAGGUCUUGUGGAUCGGGGAACCUCGAAGAAUGAAGUCGAGUCUUGUGUAGACGAAGGUCUUGGUGGCGUUGAUUUUUUCCACAUCCUCCUUGAUUCACUUGAUGGCUUCUCCGGGGUUCCUUGGCUUGUUGAAUCUGGUGGGUACUCCAAGGUGACAGUACGUGUCCUCUUCUCUCAUUGCUGAGCUUGGCUGUUCUUGGAUGCAAUGUCAGCAAUGGGUAUGCUAUUGCAUGCUCCGGUUUAUGGACCGAAAGGUCUGGGUGGCCACUGCUCCUAGGAUGUUCUUGGAUGCAGAAGGUCGUGGGCAGGGUAGUCCUCUUUUUCCUGCAGUCUAAGUGAAGAGUCGCGCAUUUGGGGCCCUUGAAGUGGAGUCCGAUCUUUCCCGCCAGAUCGCCGGUGGUGUCCAGGGGCGCUUGUAGAGACUCCUUGUCCUUGGCCAUGAUAAGGAGGUCAUUGGCAUAGGCCAGCACCGACACAUGGUGCCUGAGUAAGCAGACACCAUGGUCCUUCGCCAUCGAGGCGAGGGUGCAGACUAUUACCUCUAUGGCCACGUGGGGGGGGGUUUUGUUGGUCCAGUUCCACAGGCGGUCCUGUCGGAGUCUCGGAAGAAAUCGGCUCCUGGGCCGCUGGCUGAGUCGAGUGUUCUGGCUCCUCCAGGGCCGCGGUGUCGCUUCCAGGUGUCUUCUUGCUCCUCGUAGAUGGUGCGCUCUUUUGGGCCAGUUUUUCAACCGUAGAGCAAUCCUGGUGGUGUUUCUGCAGGUCUUUGAAGCUUUGUUGGCAGACUGUGCAGUCUAAAACCACGUUUUUGAUCUUGUGUAGAACACGAAGGUGCUUCACCAGAUCGUUGUGCUGCUUGUAGACACCACUGCGGGUUACUCUCGCCAUCCCGUAACACUCGGGACAUUUAACCCUUUAGGCGCCGGCCGCUUUCAAGGUCAUUACCAUAUAAGCACCAGCCUGCAAAAUAUUGAAAACGGUGCACUUUUGAUUUUCAUUUUUAAAACUAUUUAAUGCCUCGCAAAUUUCAUACAAAAAUUAUGUAGUAUGCAAUAGAAUAUGUACUUUUAGAUGCAUUGAAUAUUAAUUUAAUAAAUCAUAAAGAUAUAUUUUUAAAAAUAUAUUUAAUAUGCAAUUUUGGAAAAAAUAAAAAAUAUUUACAUUUUAAUUUCAAAUUGGGGGUAUAUAUAAUCAAGAUAUAUUAUAUUUGAAAGUUUUAUAAGGAAAUAGGAACAAUUUACUUUAUUUACAAGUGUGUUUCAGGGCGCAUAUUGCAUGAAGGCCUUUAUGACAUCCAGUGCAAAUAGUUCGGGAUCUUUUUCGGUUUUGUGGAGUGCUGCACUCCACACACCUCAUUUCCCUUUUUUGAGGCAAACUCUGGACUUGAAUCUGGCUGGUUGAAGGAUUGCAAGUUUCUUGAAUGUUUUCCACCAGGCUUUUUAUGACGGAGAUAUUGAAUUUCUGUCUAGACAACAGGGGAGAAUCUUUGAAAUGUUGAAGAUAGAUGAUGUAAAAAUCCGGUGGGCUGGCGUCGGGAGACUUCACUGGAAUGUCCGAGUUCCUGAUAAAAUUUAGGCCUAGGGUGUCCUUCAUUUCUUGUAGGAAUUGUUGGGUUUUGUUGGAGGUAUGGGAAGAAGCUUUGUCGUGAUGAAGGAACACUUUGUCCAUUUCCCCUGGGUAAAGGUCCUUCAGUUGUUCGAUGACAGGUUUCAGAACGCAUUCUAUAUAGAAUUCUGAGUUCACCUUCACCUUCGAUGGAACCUUUAUGAGCGGAAGGACUCCACGGCCAGUCAUUACCCCGACAACCAUGAAACCUUUAGGGAAAGUUUCGGAGCAUUGGUGAACCCAAUUAUCCGGGACCUGAUUGCCUCUUUUGAUGUAACAGAUCUUCCGGAUUCCAUUGCAAUACGUCACAUACAUCCAUGCUUCGUCCAAUGUUGCAGUAUAUUCCGAUCUGGAACCGGCCAGGUGUUCCUCGUAGAGCUUCCGGGCAUUCGUUGCACGGUUUUUCAUGUGGAAAGGGGUGAGCUUGUGAACCUUGCCUUUUCGUCGGGUAUCCAGUUCCAAAUCUUUGUGAAUGAUGUUAUUUAUCGUUUUUAGCGAUGUUCCACACAUUCUGGAAAGUUGGCGCUGAGAUGGUGGAUUUUCAGUAGUUGCUAGCCGCUUUACCUUGGAAACCGUGGCGGGGGUCCGCACCGGACGUGGUCGAUCGACUUGAAAUUUUUGCCCAUUGAAUUCAGCUUCCCUUUUCUUUCCGAUGCCAUUUACUACCCUACAUAUUGUAGCUUUGCCAACAUCUAGUCCUUCUGCUUUUAGCUUUUUCACUAUGACGCUAUAACUGUUUCCUUCUUUGGAAAGGGUCCGAAUUGUUUGUUCGACUUGGAGCGUUAGUCUCUCUCCCCCCAUGUUGCAAAAAUCAUGAUACCUGAUGAAAAUGAAUUCUCCAGAAGAUUCUAGAUCUAUUGGAACCAGUGUCGUGUGCAGCAUGCCUGCACGUGCAAAACGCGAGCGCGCGAAAAUCGUUUCAUUUGAAAGGAAACACCCUCCGUAAUUGGCAGUUUUUAUGGCAGCUGGAAAUCCUUUUCUAUUGGCCCUCACAGUUCCAGUCAGGUAAGUGCCAUUCUUGGCCAGAUCCCGAGCGAGAUCAAUGCUCGUGAAGAAAUUGUCUACCACAAUAUGAUGCCCCUUGUUCAACAAAUUAGAAUUGGUUAAAAGCUUCAUUGGAACAUCAUAUGAGAGACUUUUGUGGAUCUGGCCAAGUUUGCCUUUAUAUGGCUCGAACUGGAGGCAGUAUCCUGUCUCGGAUUCACAUACCAUCCAGAGCUUGAUCCCAAAGCGACCAUGAUGCUUUCCCGGCAUAUAUUGUCUGAUAUAGGUUUUUAACUUUUAAUUUGACAAUUUUAAUUUAUAUUUAGACAUUUUUCAUUUUAUUUUAGACAUUUUCAAUUUUAAUUUAGACAUUUUUCAUUUCAAUCCAGACAUUUUUCAUUUUAAUUUAGACACAUUGGCUUUUUAUAGAAAACUCCCUGUGUCUAAAUUAAAAUGAAAAAUGUCUAAAUUGAAAUGAAAAAUGUCCAAAUUAAAAUUGAAAAUGUCUAAAUAAAAAUGAAAGUGUCUAAAUUAAAAUGAAAAAUGUCUAAAUAUAAAUUAAAGACAUAGAUCGCGAAAGAAAGCGGCUUCCUUAGCGCUUCCUGCGUCCGGUGGAGUUGUUGAGAGUUUUCGUGAGGAUCCCCAUAUUUAUGACAUCAGGGCCACCGCUGGGGCAGUAGCUGCGGGUAUGAGCCUUGUCACCCGUCUCUCCGCAGAUGUCGCACACGUGGGACCGCAACACGGGACAUAGGAUGUGGCCGGUGACUGGGUCCCGCAGCUCGUGAGUGGCGAUAUACUCCCGCGUUUCGCCGUUCCGCGCGCAGAAGGCGCAGUGUAAGCGUCUGAUCAGCGGCGGGUAGGUGACAGGGGUCGGCAACAGUGGGGAUGUAGGGGAACUGCUGGGGACAGGGGACGUGUCGGGCUUCCGUCCUACUGUGAUUCCAAACUGUCUCAGCCUUCUUAUUUCAGGAUCCAAAUCCAGAGGACUGGGCUCUCCCCAGCAACCUGUCGUCUGACCCGGGGCCUCUCCUCCAUCUGAGCUACUGGACGCCGAAGUGGCUGACGAGGUCCAGGAUCCGCUGACAGGGGACGAGGGGUAGUUGCUGGCAGAAUAUAAAGAAAUGUUUAGCUGUAAUAUGACUCAAUGUGAGGCCCGAUAUGGGGAGCAGAAGUGGAGGGGGGAGAUCAUGUGACGUCGGCCGAUGUAUCGGCCGACUGGCGCUAGCUGACUCAAGGUCAUUGACGACCGAUCGGCCGGCUGGCGCCUAAAGGGUUAAAGACCUCAGGUAGCGGGAACGGCAUCCUAAACGGAUCACAAAGAGCAGGGGCAAGGUUGUGUACAUGUGUCACAUUUGUGUGAGAACCUGGUAGGCGUGUGGUGUCAGACGGGCUUAAAACCAGAGCAUCGUGUUUGUGUCACGUGUUACACAGUGUGCAUCAGCGACCUGGUUGUUAUUACCAGGAGGUAAACAAACCUGGUCACGUGACAAUGUGUGCAGAAACAUGCGCAAUAGGAUGGCCAAACUCGUCGAGACGAGGACGCAUGUCACGUGACCAAACAGACAUGGGUGCAAUAACCUGGUCGAUCGCCGGGCCGCGCGGCUCGCCGCUGGUCCCCGAGUCAUGUGACCGCGCAGGCGUGAUUUCCGCUGUGUCAAGUACGAGACUUGGCAACGUGGAAAUCCCACCAGAAGCACUGUCCCGCGAACAGGGCCCAGCAGAAGUGCCAGGCCAAGAAAUUGGUGAAAUAAUUGCCUGCAUUUAAAAAUAUGGUUUGGGCUAUUAUCACGAAUCAAUAUUCUAUAACUGUAGAAGUCCAUUGAUGAAACCUUUUUAUUGGUUAUUGCACCUGAUAAUGGCUCAAUUUGCAUAAUGUUAAAAUGGUAGCCGUCUUCACCAUAAGGGAAUAUCAAUGGAUAUUGAAGGGCAUCAUAGGACCGAUGUGUUUUUGAGAUUUGCUGUAUUAAGAUAGGUCACGCCAUCCUCAAACUCGAUCGUUGAUGGUACAAAAUCACAUAAGAGGAAGGAGGCGGAGGAAGUCACCUCGACGCAGAACUCACUAGAGCCAUAAUGAGUGGAAAUAGUAGCCAUGUCAUCAGAACCAAAGGUUUGAUAGCCCACAAGCAGAGCACCAAGCCCAGUAAUAUGGUCAGGAGUGACCUUGGCGAUAGGCAUCCAGGAAAAUGCUUUGUCGCCAGCUCGGGGAGUGUAGGUGUAGGUUCUAGUGUCACUUUCUCUAAAAGUGACGGCUCUGUGGUCGCGUUGAAUGUCUGUGAGAUGCAUCCAUGUGUAGUCUACACUGGAGUUUGGAGUAUCCAUGGAAUAGGGAAUGAAACAGACCGAGAUUGUACCACCUCUAUUCCUUACAUCAGUGUUAGUCAUAAUCCGGAAAUGCAGCGAUUGGAGCCGAGCCUCACGAUAAUGGCAAAGAUAUUUACCAUCGUCGAUGCCAGCGUCCCAUUUCGCAGCAAGCCAUGGUGAAUUGUUAUUAUUUAAUAGAGAGAGAAAAAAAAAAAUUCUUUUCUUACGCAUCAUCCAUAUAUAUUUAUAAUUAAUAACAAUAAAAUUUAACAACGUAACGUCUUUUGCAAUCGGCUGUUACCCGUCAUUUAGACAUACUCUAAUUUAUAUAUAGAAUAAUAGAAGUGAGAAUAUAUUUAAUAGUAUAAAUUUUAGUAGUUAUAUAUAGAGAAAAGAGAGAAAGACAGAACGACAUAUAUAUAUAUGUCGUAAACCCGGGUAAGACAACAAAUGGGUUGGAAGCAGUCGGGGUUGAGUGGCAAGGCGUGCAGAGUGGGAAGUCCGCACGGGACAAUAAGGACAAAGUUUGGGACCAAAAGAUGCUCUCCCCAGUACGUCUCAAGUGGCACCAGGACCAGGGGAAAGUUGAGGAUUAACUGAGGAAAAGCUCGGCGUCCAGCCUGAAGCCGCGGGGACCGUCGUGAGAUGAUAAUGGCCUACAACCGAGCGGGGCUGUCUGAAAAUAUCUACUGUAACCUAAAUAAUUGUCGAAAUCUGGACGCCCCUUCUUUUGUCCGUCUCUGGAUCCCCCAGGUGUCCCGUGGCAAGCUGGUGUCACUUUGAGACGACUAGAAAAGGCGUCAUACUUUAUUACUUACAUAUCACAUUGUUUAAAUUACGAUAUAUAUAUAUGUAAUAUUGUUGCAAAUGUCCUCGGCGUCCCCUUUCUUGUUGAGCAAGAUAGAGGAACUUUCCUUCCAUGAAGGGGGUACCGCCCUCAUCUGGAAGCAGACCUGGAAGAUCUGGGUGAGGAUGGUGGCUUUGGGAUCCACCCGUUUCAGUUCCUGGUAGCUGAUGCCAUCGGGACCAGGAGCAGUGUUUCCCAUCUUGAGAAGGCGGUACCAUACUGCGUUGGAAGAGAUGGGUUCUUCCAACUGGGCUCCGUCCUGGGGGGCGAAGUCCUUGAGGAGAUCUGGGUCGGGGCUGAACUCGGUGUUGUCCCCAACCAUGCGUUUCUCGAAGUGUUCUUCGAUCAUCUGGAUGGGGAUGGUGCAGCCCGGGGAGCGUUGGCCCAAUUUUGGCAUUCAAAAAUGUAGAAAUAUUUUCCAUUAGUUUUUCCAACACAGGAAACUUUUUUUCCUAUUGAAUUUAUCUCCCAUUUUUAAUUUAAAUAAAGUAUUACCAAAUAAUUUGGCAUACAAAAUAAAAUUACCAACCUUAAAUUAAUUAGAAUAUUUUGUAAACAAACGAUUAUAUUAGGGGGACGUUUUGUUGGUCCAGUUCCACAGGCGGUCCUGUCGGAGUCUCGGAAGAAAUCGGCUCCUGGGCCGCUGACUGAGUUGAGUGUUCAGGCUCCUCCAGGGCCGCGGCGUCGCUUCCAGGUGUCCUCUUCUUGCUCCUCGUAGAUAUUGCGCUCUUUUGGGCCCGUUUUUUAACCGUAGAGCAAUCCUGGUGGUGUUUGGUGCUUCUGCAGGUCCGCAGGUCUUUGAAGCUUUGUUAGCAGACCGUGCAGUCAAAAACCACGUUGUUAAUCUUGUGUAGAACACGAAGGUGCUUCACCAGAUCGUUGUGCUGCUUGUAGAUCAACGCUGUCCAAAACCUGCGGCGUUUGCACAUUGGGAGGGUCGCUAUUUACGACCGGCAGCCGUAGGUUGUCUGCUGCUUCCUCUUGUUGGACCAAGGGACUCUCUGACGGCUGUUCAGGGAUGGAUGCUGGUGGGGCGUAUUUCUUUAGAGGAAGUACCCCUUUGAUCUUCCUCGGCGGCGUUCUUAUUGAUGUUGUAGGACCUCUGCAGCUUCGCCUCAGCAUCAAAGCUGGGUGCCGAUGGUCGGGUACUCCGAGGUUUUUAUGGUGGUGGCACUCUGCGUCUUGUCCAUGUGUCAGGUUUUCCGGUCUCGUUUUUAACUCCUUUGAUGAAAUUCUCGAUCAAGGAAAAGAGUGUUUCCCUGUCGGGUGCAGCUGUCCACUUUCCAUCCCACUCUUCCUGAAAGGGAGUGAAGGAUUUUCAGGGCGGGCGCUGCUGGAGUUCAUCAACUGGCUGUGAAGCUGGAGGAGGGGUGACCGGUGUAUCCUGUGGCAAGUGGGCAGGGUCGUCAGGUGGGGCGCUGCUUGAAGAUCAACGCUGUCCAAAACCUGCGGCGUUUGCACGUUGGGAGGGUCGCUAUUUACGACCGGCAGCCGUAGGUUGUCUGCUGCUUCCUCUUGUUGGACCAAGGGACUCUCUGACGGCUGUGCAGGGAUGGAUGCUGGAGGGGCGUAUUUCUUCAGAGGAAGUACCCCUUUGAUCUUCCUCGGCGGCGUUCUCUGGUAGGGGUGGGACAAAAGUUGUUUGGCCCGCUUCGCUGGUAGCCAAACUCGUCCCGUGAGCCUCCGGUCUGAAGGGUGUAGUCUCGGCGGAGAGGUCACUCACGGGGGGCGGGGGUGUUUUGUUGGUCCAGUUCCACAGGCAGUCCUGUCGGAGUCUCUGAAGAAAUCGGUUCCUGGGCCGCUGGCUGAGUCGAGUGUUUCGACUCCUCCAGGGCCGCGGUGUCGCUUCCAGGUGUCUUCUUGCUCCUCGUAGAUGGUGCGCUCUUUUGGGCCAGUUUUUCAACCGUAGAGCAAUCCUGGUGGUGUUUCUGCGGGUCUUUGAAGCUUUGUUGGCAGACCGUGCAGUCAAAAACCACGUUGUUGAUCUUGUGUAGAACAUGAAGGUGCUUCACCAGAUCGUUGUGCUGCUUGUAGACACCACUGCGGGUUACUCUCGCCAUCCCGUAACACUCGGGACAUUUAAAGACCUCAGGUAGCUGGAACGGCAUCCUAAACGGAUCACAAAGAGCAGGGGCAAGGUUGUGUACAUGUGUCACAUUGUGUGAGAACCUGGUAGGCGUGUGGUGUCAGACGGGCUUACCACCAGAGCAUCGUGUUUGUGUCACGUGUUACACAGUGUGCAUCAGCGACCUGGUUGUUAUUACCAGGAGGUAAACAAACCUGGUCACGUGACAACGUGUGCAGAAACGUGCGCAAUAGGAUGGCCAAACUCGUCGAGAAGAGUGGCAGAACAAGGACGCAUGUCACGUGACCAAACAGACAUGGGUGCAAUAACCUGGUCGAUCGCCGGGCCGCGCGGCUCGCCGCUGGUCCCCGAGUCACGUGACCGCGCAGGCGUGAUUUCCGCUGUGUCAAGUACGAGACUUGGCAACGUGGAAAUCCCACCAGAAGCACUGUCCCGCGAACAGGGCCCAGCAGAAGUGCCAGGCCAAGAAAUUGGUGAAAUAAUUGCCUGCAUUUAAAAAUAUGGUUUGGGCUAUUAUCACGAAUCAAUAUUCUAUAACUGUAGAAGUCCAUUGAUGAAACCUUUUUAUUGGUUAUUGCACCUGAUAAUAGCUCAAUUUGCAUAAUGUUAAAAUGGUAGCCGUCUUCACCAUAAGGGAAUAUCAAUGGAUAUUGAAGGGCAUCAUAGGACCGAUGUGUUUUUGAAAUUUGCUGUAUUAAGAUUGGUCACGCCAUCCUCAAACUCGAUCGUUGAUGGUACUAAAUCACGUACGAGGAAGGAUGCGGAGGAAGUCACCUCGACGCAGAACUCACUAGAGCCAUAAUGAGUGGAAAUAGUAGCCAUGUCAUCAGAACCAAAGGUUUGAUAACCCACAAGCAGAGCACCAAGCCCAGUAAUAUGGUCAGGAGUGACCUUGGCGAUAGGCAUCCAGGAAAAUGCUUUGUCGCCAGCUCGGGGAGUGUAGGUGUAGGUUCUAGUGUCACUUUCUCUAAAAGUGACGGCUCUGUGGUCGCGUUGAAUGUCUGUGAGAUGCAUCCAUGUGUAGUCUACACUGGAGUUUGGAGUAUCCAUGGAAUAGGGAAUGAAACAGACCGAGAUUGUACCACCUCUAUUCCUUACAUCAGUGUUAGUCAUAAUCCGGAAAUGCAGGUAUUGGAGCCGAGCCUCACGAUAAUGGCAAAGAUAUUUACCAUCGUCGAUGCCAGCGUCCCAUUUCGCAGCAAGCCAUGGUGAAUUGUUAUUAUUUAAUAGAGAGAGAAAAAAAAAAUUCUUUACUUCUUACGCAUCAUCCAUAUAUAUUUAUAAUUAAUAACAAUAAAAUUUAACAACGUAACGUCUUUUGCAAUCGGCUGUUACCCGUCAUUUAGACAUACUCUAAUUUAUAUAUAGAAUAAUAGAAGUGAGAAUAUAUUUAAUAGUAUAAAUUUUAGUAGUUAUAUAGAGAAAAGAGAGAAAGACAGAACGACAUAUAUAUAUAUGUCGUAAACCCGGGUAAGACAACAAGUGGGUUGGAAGCAGUCGGGGUUGAGUGGCAAGGCGUGCAGAGUGGGAAGUCCGCACGGGACAGUAAGGACAAAGUUUGGGACCAAAAGAUGCUCUCCCCAGUACGUCUCAAGUGGCACCAGGACCAGGGGAAAGUUGAGGAUUAACUGAGGAAAAGCUCGGCGUCCAGCCUGAAGCCGCGGGGACCGUCGUGAGAUGAUAAUGGCCUACAACCGAGCGGGGCUGUCUGAAAAUAUCCACUGUAACCUAAAUAACUGUCGAAAUCUGGACGCCCCUUCUUUUGUCCGUCUCUGGAUCCCCCAGGUGUCCCGUGGCAAGCUGGUGUCACUUUGAGACGACUAGAAAAGGCGUCAUACUUUAUUACUUACAUAUCACAUUGUUUAAAUUACGAUAUAUAUAUAUAUAUGUAAUAUUGUUGCAAAUGUCCUCGGCGUCCCCUUUCUUGUGGAGCAAGAUAGAGGAACUUUCCUUCCAUGAUGGGGGUACCGCCCUCAUCUGGAAGCAGACCUGGAAGAUCUGGGUGAGGAUGGUGGCUUUGGGAUCCACCCGUUUCAGUUCCUGGUAGCUGAUGCCAUCGGGACCAGGAGCAGUGUUUCCCAUCUUGAGAAGGCGGUACCAUACUGUGUUGGAAGAGAUGGGUUCUUCCAACUGGGCUCCGUCCUGGGGGGCGAAGUCCUUGAGGAGAUCUGGGUCGGGGCUGAACUCGGUGUUGUCCCCAACCAUGCGUUUCUCAAAGUGUUCUUCGAUCAUCUGGAUGGGGAUGGUGCAGCUCGGGGAGCGUUGGCCCAAUUUUGGCAUUUAAAAAUGUAGAAAUAUUUUCCAUUAGUUUUUCCAACACAGGAAACAUUUUUUUUCCUAUUGAAUUUAUCUCCCAUUUUUAAUUUAAAUAAAGUAUUACCAAAUAAUUUGGCAUACAAAAUAAAAUUACCAACCUUAAAUUAAUUAGAAUAUUUUGUAAACAAACGAUUAUAUUAGGGGGACGUUUUGUUGGUCCAGUUCCACAGGCGGUCCUGUCGGAGUCUCUGAAGAAAUCGGCUCCUGGCCGCUGACUGAGUUGAGUGUUCAGGCUCCUCCAGGGCCGCGGCGUCGCUUCCAGGUGUCCUCUUCUUGCUCCUCGUAGAUGGUGCGCUCUUUUGGGCCCGUUUUUUAACCGUAGAGCAAUCCUGGUGGUGUUUGGUGCUUCUGCAGGUCCGCAGGUCUUUGAAGCUUUGUUAGCAGACCGUGCAGUCAAAAACCACGUUGUUAAUCUUGUGUAGAACACGAAGGUGCUUCACCAGAUCGUUGUGCUGCUUGUAGAUCAACGCUGUCCAAAACCUGCGGCGUUUGCACAUUGGGAGGGUCGCUAUUUACGACCGGCAGACGUAGGUUGUCUGCUGCUUCCUCUUGUUGGACCAAGGGACUCUCUGACGGCUGUUCAGGGAUGGAUGCUGGUGGGGCGUAUUUCUUUAGAGGAAGUACCCCUUUGAUCUUCCUCGGCGGCGUUCUUAUUGAUGUUGUAGGACCUCUGCAGCUUCGCCUCAGCAUCAAAGCUGGGUGCCGAUGGUCGGGUACUCCGAGGUUUUUAUGGUGGUGGCACUCUGCGUCUUGUCCAUGUGUCAGGUUUUCCGGUCUCGUUUUUAACUCCUUUGAUGAAAUUCUCGAUCAAGGAAAAGAGUGUUUCCCUGUCGGGUGCAGCUGUCCACUUUCCAUCCCACUCUUCCUGAAAGGGAGUGAGGGAUUUUCAGGGCGGGCGCUGCUGGAGUUCAUCAACUGGCUGUGAAGCUGGAGGAGGGGUGACCGGUGUAUCCUGUGGCAAGUGGGCAGGGUUGUCAGGUGGGGCGCUGCUUGAAGAUCAACGCUGUCCAAAACCUGCGGCGUUUGCACGUUGGGAGGGUCGCUAUUUACGACCGGCAGCCGUAGGUUGUCUGCUGCUUCCUCUUGUUGGACCAAGGGACUCUCUGACGGCUGUGCAGGGAUGGAUGCUGGAGGGGCGUAUUUCUUCAGAGGAAGUACCCCUUUGAUCUUCCUCGGCGGCGUUCUCUGGUAGGGGUGGGACAAAAGUUGUUUGGCCCGCUUCGCUGGUAGCCAAACUCGUCCCGUGAGCCUCCGGUCUGAAGGGUGUAGUCUCGGCGGAGAGGUCACUCACGGGGGGCGGGGGUGUUUUGUUGGUCCAGUUCCACAGGCAGUCCUGUCGGAGUCUCUGAAGAAAUCGGUUCCUGGGCCGCUGGCUGAGUCGAGUGUUUCGACUCCUCCAGGGCCGUAGAGUCGCUUCUAGGUGUCUUCUUCUUGAUCCUCUUAGAAGGUGCGCUCUUUUGGGCCCGUUUUUCAACCGUAGAGCAAUCCUGGUGGUGUUUGGCGCAGGUCUUUGAAGCUUUGUUGGCAGACCGUGCAGUGAAAAACUACGUUGUUAAUCUUGUGUAGAACAUGAAGGUGCUUCACCAGAUCGUUGUGCUGCUUGUAGACACCACUGCGGGUUACUCUCGCCAUCCCGUAACACUCGGGACAUUUAAAGACCUCAGGUAGCUGGAACGGCAUCCUAAACGGAUCACAAAGAGCGGGGGCAAGGUUGUGUAUAUGUGUCACAUUUGUGUGAGAACCUGGUAGGCGUGUGAGUGGGGGGUCAUUAGGGACUAACAAGAAGUGCUUCUAAAUCGAGAGAAGCUUUUAACUUCAGUAGUAUCCAGAAGCCUUACCACGGGUUGGAGUCAUUAGGGACUGACAAGAAGUGCUCCUAAAUCAAGAGAAGCUUUUAACUUCAGUAGUAUCCAGAAGCCUUACCACGGGUGGGGGGUCAUUAGGGACUGAGAAGAAGUGCUCUUAAAUUGAGAGAAGCGUUUAACUUCAGUAGUAUCCAGAAGCCUUACCACGGGUGGGGGUCAUUAGGGACUGACAAGAAGUGCUCCUAAAUCGAGAGAAGCUUUUAACUUCAGUAGUAUCCAGAAGCCUUACCACGGGUGGGGGGUCAUUAGGGACUGACAAGAAGUGCUCCUAAAUCGAGAGAAGCUUUUAACUUCAGUAGUAUCCAGAAGCCUUACCACUGGUGGGGGGACAAACUGGACUAGCUGAAGUCACCGACAGAACUCUCGGGUUCAGGGGGGCAGGAAGUCCAUAAUGGUGGCAGCUGAGGCAAUUUUCACUCUGCUGAAAAUCAAGGGCUCUGAGAGCCUCAGCAGCUGUCUCAGAGGUUCCACGAGAAAAGUCCUCACUAAGAUACCCCUUGUAUUUGGUCCACAAUGAUCCAGUGUCGUUUGGAUUAUCGAAGAUGAGAAUUGUCGCAAAGAGCUGGCGCAGUUGACCUGACAUUUGGAACAAAGCCGCCUCAGCCAAGCAUGCAUCCCACUCAGAAUCAUCAGCCAAUAAUCCAGUGAUUUUUUAAAAAACUAAUUCAGCUAUUAUUGAAUAGUUAAAAGCUCUUAGAGUUGUCUUUUGAAUGCUGUUCAUAUGGAACAGGAUGUGAUGGAAGAUGUUAAGGAUCACUUUUCCUCCAUUCUUUCAUCCAUAUAUGUAUACAACAUUUGAUCACAUACACCGGCUGUACGAAGCCCACCCUGCACAGAUGGAUGAAGAAUACCAGGAACAUAUCCUGAACCUACUCAAGCCCAAGUUACCAACUCUUGUGUUCAGGACUUCUAUACCUGCACAGGUAAAUGGCAUCAAACCUCAUGUCACAUCACCUCAUGAAAAUUCUACAUUAGAACAUAUAAAUACUUUAUCCCAGAAUGUGAAUUCUCUGCCAGGGCAUGUGAAUUCCACACCAGCGCAAUCACAUAAAGAUACCCAGCAUACUGCCAUAGCAAACUCUUUCAAAAUCUGUAGAGAUAUUUUGCCCAAAGAAGAUAAGCAAAAAAUACUUUUGAUUCCAGCAGGUUUAAAUACAAAUUGAAAUAAGAUUAAUAAACUAAUGUAAAUAUGUGAAAGAGUUGUAUAAAAGUGAAUUCCUGCUCCGCCUUUGGAAGGAGGGAUGAAGAGCACCUCGUUGCUGGCCUGCAGAGGCAGGCCAGGCCAUUUCUUCCCUAGUCUCUUUAUCAGCAGGUCCACUUCCCUGAAGGAGGUCUUGUGGAUCAGGGAACCUCGAAGAAUGAAGUCGAGUCUUGUGUAGACGAAGGUCUUGGUGGCGUCGAUCUUCUGCCAAGUAGUGAGUAGGCUGUUGUUGAUUUUUUCCACAUCCUCCUUGAUUCCCUUGAUGGCUUCUCCGGGGUUCCUUGGCUUGUUGAAUCUGGUGGGUACUCCAAGGUGACAGUACGUGUCCUCUUCUCUCAUUGCUGAGAUUGGCUGUUCUUGGAUGCAAUGUCAGCAAUGGGUAUGCUAUCGCAUGUGUGGUGUCAGACGGGCUUACCACCAGAGCAUCGUGUUUGUGUCACGUGUUACACAGUGUGCAUUAGCGACCUGGUUGUUAUUACCAGGAGGUAAACAAACCUGGUCACGUGACAACGUGUGCAGAAACAUGCGCAAUAGGAUGGCCAAACUUGUCGAGAUGAGUGGCAGAACAAGGACGCAUGUCACGUGACGAAACAGACAUGGGUACAAUAACCUGGUCGAUUGCCGGGCCACGCGGCGAUGGUGCAUUGCGAUGGUACUCAAUUACACAUCUUUUUGGUGGGUUGUGAUGCAGAAUCUUCUUGGGGAAGUGAUCUUUUCAUCUGUUCAUUUUCCUGCUCCUUCUUCAAUUCAGCCACCACAGCAUUGGCAAUUCUUAUGGCAUUGUCUGUUCUUUCUUGAUAAACUUGUACGACCUCUUCUUCAGACAUUCCUAGUUUGAAUUCCUUCAAUAUCUUGUUUUUCAACAUUUUCACCAUAUAGCCGAGGUCCACUUUGUUAGAUUUGGGAAGAAGUGUUAUCGCUAGGCCAGUAUUUCCAGCCAUAGCAGUACGGCCUACUCUCCUGGUAUAGUCUUCCUUCACGUUGGGGCGAUCGAAAUUUAUCACCGCCGAGACUUCAGGGAAAUCCAUGCCCCUCCCUGCAACAUCUGUAGCCACCAUAUAAGAUUGGGAUUCCUCUUUGAACUUUCUCAAAUUCUUGUUCCGGUUAGCCCGAGCCAUAUCGCCAUGGAGCAUCACUGGCCUGAAGCCAAGCGUUUUAAGAAUUCUGUGCAGCCGAAUAGUGCUGAAUUUUGUUUUGCAGAACAUCAGCACUCUCUUACGAUGAAAGGGUCCUUCUAGAAGUGCUGCCAGAUAGUAUUCCUUGUGCUCCGUUAAACAGCGAAGGUAGAAAUGUUCCAGAUGGGGGCUAAUCAGUGUGUCUGCUCGGAUUUCCACAAAGUCUUGCAGAGAAAGUCUAUUGAGAUCUAUAUUCUCCGCAGACAUAGUGGCGGAGAACAGCAAGGUCUGCCUCUCCUUGGGCAGCAGGUUCAGGAUUUCAUCCAGGUCUUUUUCGUUUUUAAGAAUCCGGUCCGCUUCAUCCAGGACCAGCACUUUGAGACAUUUUAAAGAGAAGUUCUUGGUCUUAGAUGGUGAAGGAGGCGUCCAGGGGUGGCGACAAUCACAUAGGGCCUCAGCUCGUUGAGCAGCAGGGCCUGAUGUUCAUAGCUGUCCCCACCCGUUAAAUGGACCACCGCGCAGGCUUGAUUUCCGCUGUGUCAAGUACGAGACUUGGCGACGUGGAAAUCCCACCAGAAGCACUGUACCGCGAACAGGGCCCAGCAGAAGUGCCAGGCCAAGAAAUUGGUGAAAUAAUUGCUUGCAUUUAAAAAUAUGGUUUGGGCUAUUAUCACAAAUCAAUAUUCUAUAACUGUAGAAGUCCAUUGAUGAAACCUUUUUAUUGGUUAUUGUGCCUGAAAAUGGCUCAAUUUGCAUAAUGUUAAAAUGGUAGCCGUCUUCACCAUAAGGGAAUAUCAAUGGAUAUUGAAGGGCAUCAUAGGACCGAUGUGUUUUUGAAAUUUGCUGUAUUAAGAUAGGUCACGCCAUCCUCAAACUCGAUCGUUGAUGGUACAAAAUCACGUACGAGGAAGGAUGCGGAGGAAGUCACCUCAACGCAGAACUCACUAGAGCCAUAAUGAGUGGAAAUAGUAGCCAUGUCAUCAGAACCAAAGGUUUGAUAACCCACAAGCAGAGCACCAAGCCCAGUAAUAUGGUCAGGAGUGACCUUGGCGAUAGGCAUCCAGGAAAAUGCUUUGUCGCCAGCUCGGGGAGUGUAGGUGUAGGUUCUAGUGUCACUUUCUCUAAAAGUGACGGCUCUGUGGUCGCAUUGAAUGUCUGUGAGAUGCAUCCAUGUGUAGUCUACACUGGAGUUUGGAGUAUCCAUGGAAUAGGGAAUGAAACAGACCGAGAUUGUACCACCUCUAUUCCUUACAUCAGUGUUAGUCAUAAUCCGGAAAUGCAGCGAUUGGAGCCGAGCCUCACGAUAAUGGCAAAGAUAUUUACCAUCGUCGAUGCCAGCGUCCCAUUUCGCAGCAAGCCAUGGUGAAUUGUUAUUAUUUAUUUAUUAUAUAUUUAUAAUUAAUAGUUAUUAUAUAUUUAUAAUUAAUAACAAUAAAAUUUAACAACGUAACGUCUUUUGCAAUCGGCUGUUACCCGUCAUUUAGACAUACUCUAAUUUAUAUAUAGAAUAAUAGAAGUGAGAAUAUAUUUAAUAGUAUAAAUUUUAGUAGUUAUAUAUAGAGAAAAGAGAGAAAGACAGAACGACAUAUAUAUAUAUAUGUCGUAAACCCGGGUAAGAAGACAAGUGGGUUGGAAGCAGUCGGGGUUGAGUGGCAAGGCGUGCAGAGUGGGAAGUCCGCACGGGACAGUAAGGACAAAGUUUGGGACCAAAAGAUGCUCUCCCCAGUACAUCUCAAGUGGCACCAGGACCAGGGGAAAGUUGAGGAUUAACUGAGGAAAAGCUCGGCGUCCAGCCUGAAGCCGCGGGGACCGUCGUGAGAUGAUAAUGGCCUACAACCGAGCGGGGCUGUCUGAAAAUAUCCACUGUAACCUAAAUAACUGUCGAAAUCUGGACGCCCCUUCUUUUGUCCGUCUCUGGAUCCCCCAGGUGUCCCGUGGCAAGCUGGUGUCACUUUGAGACGACUAGAAAAGGCGUCAUACUUUAUUACUUACAUAUCACAUUGUUUAAAUUACGAUAUAUAUAUAUGUAAUAUUGUUGCAAAUGCCGACGUUAGGAUGAACUGGCAGUCGUGUACGUGAGGCGAGUGUUGGUGUUCUUCCCACACCCGGACAACAAGAAGCAGAGGCAGGGCUGGAUGUUAACACAGAGAGUGAUCGGGAACAGCCCACGGGACAGAGGUAGAGGCCAUGACACAAACUUGGAUGCUUAUCACCGAGACCUGGAGGGAGAGACUGUGAGAGACAUAUAUAUGAUGUAAUUCUAUGUGUGAAAAAGAAUUAGCAGUCGUUUGUGGCCGUCUCCACCUCAAUAAUCAUAUCUUUAUUUUUUUCAAAUCUUUUUAAAACAAACAACAAAAUUUACAUACUUGGCACGCUGUAAAAAUUAAUUAUUUUACAAACAAAGAACAUUAUGCAAAGCAGAUAGAAUUUUAAUAUCAUUCAAAAUGUAUCACUACCCCCCACAAAAAAAAAAAAAAAAAACUAGUGUUAAUUUUUUUCUCAACGGAGGUUGGGAGGGGAUGGAAGGUAAAGGAUAAGAUACAUUUUGAAGGAAGAAAAAAAAAUGCAAAAAUUAUAUUACACAAGUAAUUGUAUUUACACAAGAAACUAUAUUGUUAGAGGUAAAAGGCGACCAAAGCCUGUUGGGGAAAAUCACAGGAAAAGGUGGCCCUACAAAACCUAACUAACAAUAGGCAGGAAGAAAAAAAUGAUAUUUUAAAAUUUGGACAUUACAUGUCUAUGGAGACACUCUCCAUGUAGAAUCCCAUUCCAGGGCAACUUUUUUGUUAUUUUCUCGAAACCGGCAGUAGUUUCUCCAGGGGCUCUGUGGGGUGAUCUGGAUUUUUUUUUUCUUUAAUGGAAGAGAAUAAAACCUGAGGACUAUCGGUGGAAGCUUGCUUGUUAGGUUCGAUACCCAAGCAUCCUUCCAAAUCCUCUUCUUCCUGAAAUGGGAAUGUUGGUUCAGUAUUAUCUUCAGUUACCGGAUCCCAGAGCUUUACUUUAGAAAUAUUAACUAUUGUUGCAUGCUUAUUUUCGGGUUGGCAAGGCUUAUCUAUUUCUAUGGUUUGUAGUGAGGGUAUGGAAAUUAUGGUGUAUGGUUCUGGAUAAAAGGCUGGCAUGAGCUUACCUUGACCUGAUUGGUAAGGGAUCUUAUAAAGGACCUUAUCCCCUAUUUUUAGAUUAGGCGUUUUAUGGGAUUCAUUAUAUCUUUUUACCAAUUUAAGAUGUAAUUUUUCGGUAUUUUCAUUUGCAAUUUUCCUAGCCUCUUCUAUGGGUGGAUAUGCUCUUGUUAAUUUAUUGAUAUAUGAUGGCGUUAUGCCAAAAAGCAAAUAAACGGGAGGCAUUUUAAUUAUGGAAUGAGGAAUACUCCGAUAUUCUUCUAAGGCCUUUUGUAAUAAUUUGGGCCAUGGUAUUCUGGGAUUUUGUUGAUGGCCUUGAUUCUUUGAUGUUGGCCUUGAUCUCGAUAAAUUAAUUUCAGACACUUGUCUUUCAAGUGAAGAAAUUUUCUCUAACAAAUUUUCCAUAUUAGUAUGAGAAGUUUGUGAAGAACUAGCACUACAGACAUUAGGGCUAAAGGUCAUGUCCAUUAUUUUAUCAGCCAUAGAUGCUAAUUUUGUGACAUUUUCAUCACUUACAAGUAAUAUCUUCUUCAUUGAAUCAGAUAAUUUUUAAAGCCAUAAUGUCUUUAUUAGAUUAUCUAAUAUAUCUUUAGUGGCAAGAGAUCUUAAUUUCUGUAAAAGUUGACUAGGCUUCAUGUUUCCAAGCUCAAUUCCUGUGAUAAGCCUUUUUAUUCUAACACUUUCACUCGCUUUAAAUAUAGUUAAAAGUCUAGUUUUGGACUCUGUAUAUUUAAAUUUACUAUCAAGAGUAAUUAUGUCCCAAAUAUUUUCAAUAUACUUAGGCUCAAGUUGUGCGAUCAAAUAAUUAAAUAUAUAUUUUGUUUCUUCUGAAGUUAUACAAUUUAUACUGAAUUGCGCCUCAACUUGAUAAAACCAAAUCUCAGGUUUAUCUGUCCAAAAAGGAGGAAUUUUAAUACUUACUUUGUGGACUUCUUGAGGUGAAGAAGCUUCUUUAAUUGUAUUUUCAUUCGAAUCUUUGUUCAUUUUAAAAAUGUGAUCACGUCCGGCUCACCAAAUGUGGUAGAUGUUUUGAAGAAAUAGCCUUAGCCUUUUUAAAAUGUGUCUGUACGCUGCUCUCCCUCUUUAAGAGGUGGAAUUUUACUGGUCUGUCAAGUAGGAUUUCAGUUCUUAUUGUGUGGAAAUUUAUGAAUAGUGCAUGGUUUUUUGGGUUAUACAUCUCGAUGGGGGAUAAGACUUUACACUCUUCAUUGAUUAGAUAUAUAGUGUUGUUUUUAGGCCAGAUCUUAUCUUUUGGUUGAUUACAAUAUGUUUUUACUUUUACAUUAUAGUUAGUUGAAUAUUUUAUGAAUUGGAAAAAGUCUUUACUUAAAUUGCCAGAAUAUUGAAGGUUAUGCUUAAUAGAUAUUAUUGGAUUUAGGAUUAAGUCUAGAUGAUUGUUACUUGCAGUGCAUUUCCGUUCACUUGGGCACUGUUCUGCAGAGCGCUCCUCUUCUGCAGCAGCAGCUGAUGGAAGGAGUGCAGGCUCUGGUAUAUCAUUGCAUCUGGUUCUUUGUUCUGUAGAUCUGCCGACUUUUCCUCGAUCUUGAAAAGAGUGGUGAUCACUUUUAGUUGGUAGGCGUUGUUCAUUUUUAGAUUCAAAACAUGACGCCAGGAUACGCCCGGAGUUCCUAGCGUCGCUUCGAAGUUUUUUGAAUCCCCAGGUCCUACAGUUGCGUACAGGUCCUGCAGUCUUGCAUAGUUCAGGACCCAAGGAGGGAGAUGCAGCUUCUGGCUUUUGCUGAUUGAUUCUUGGAUGUUGCGUAUGCCGGGCACUUCUCUGAACUGCUGGAGCAUCUUGGAUGUUUCCACUCUUCCUCUCACUUUUCUUGCCAUGGCCCACAGACAUCUCUGUGCCUUGUAGAAGUUUUCGAGAGUCAAACCUCCUCUCUUUAUCAUUAUGAAGAAGAUGAGGAAGACUGGGUCAAUGUUUGAGCCCUGCUGUCUGAACUGGUCUGCCUCAGCAGGUUGAGUGGCCCUUAUAUCGGCAAUUUCUGUAUCUAGUUCGGCCAGAAGAGCAGUGAACCUGGUGGCAACACUUCUGGUUGCGGAUGCAGCAAGGGCUGUCAUUCUCUGCCUUAUUGUUCCUUGGUUUGUGUCCGACCAGAGGAGAGCAGUGGUUAACAUUCUUCUAUUGCUCUUGUUCCUCUUGUCUUCUGCGAAGGGGAAGAUUGGGUCUUCUGAUCGGAGGGCAAGCACAACCUCAUCCACAUGAGGUGGCUUCAAUGGUGGUGCCAGGCAAAACAUAUUUUUUUAUAACCGCAAUGAGAGUACGGGCCCUACGGUCGGCGACCACCUGGAAAAAAAAUAUUUUGUUUCCACGUCUACACCGCCAAAAACCCAAUGUCCUUCGGCAGUUUUGGCACAGUGAUUUUUAGUUUUCUUAUUGUGGCCAAACAGGCUCGCGUCUAUUUGCACCUGUUUGCCUUUACCACCAAUUUUCGGAUGGUCGUCCAGAUAUAGAAGGUAGCAAACCUCCCUGCAGAAGUUAACCCAGUGCGUUACUGCGUCAUCAGAUACCCCAGACUGCUCUGCAAUGGUCUUUAUAUCAAUCUUUACCACCCACAGUGCAGUCAUUGUUAUAAUUUGGUAGAGUUUUAAGGUCGAUUUCUCAAACCAAGUUCCGCAUCGCAAACUUGUUCUAAUACUAUGCACUCCAAUUUUUUUAGAUGUGCUUCUACAUCGCCAUACUACAUGAUCUGUGUUUUUAUAGGAUUUCAGUUCCAUAUCUCUGCCACAGUGCGGGCAUGUCCUUUCACCUGCGAAGACACACGUUCAGAAUAUAAACUUUGUCACUAUUAUUGAAUAUAUAUAUACACUAGAAUAAAUCUCUAGAUAAAAUAGAUUGCGUCAUAACAAUUAUAGUAAUAAAAACAUAAAUGAUUAAGCAAAAGAUGCUUUAUGAGGUCAGCACAACUAUGCGACCACAAUGAAACUAAGGAGAAAAUUAAUUUAGCAAAGAAAUAAAUAUAUUACCUGGAAUUAGCCCUUCUUGAAUGCAUAAUUCCCUCACUCUUUGGUCGCCCAAUCCCUUAAGGGCAAAAAGGUCUGUAAAUGUAUAAAACGGCUUUUUUCUUGUUUUUUAGCGCCUAUUUACCCGUGAGCUUACACACACUCUGUGGUAACAAAUAAUUAAAAUAUAUAUAUAUGUACAACAGCCCUUAUCUUUUUCUCUUCUGGCUUUAGUCCAUCAGGUCCAAUUUGGUGUCCCAAAAACUUUAAUUUAGGAGAAGAGAAUACACAUUUCUCUUUAUUAAGUGUCAAUCCUGUUUCCUUCAGUUUGCUAAGGACUUGUUUCAGUCUUCCAUCAUGUUCCUGCUAAUUGGAUCCCCAAACUAUGAUAUCAUCUAGAUGACACAUUGAGCCUUCGAUAUCUCCUAAAACCUCACUCAUUCUUUUUUGGAAAUGCUCGGGUGCGCUAGUAAUUCCAAAUGGAAGUCGACAAAAUCUAUACCGUCCAAAAGGUGUCAAGAAUGUUGUAAAGUCUUUUGACUUAUCAUCCAAAGGUAUUUGCCAAAAUCCUGAAUUAGCAUCUAAUUUUGAGAACACUUUACCAUUGCUUAACUGGCUCAAAGUUUCUUCUAGGAUAGGCAUUUGAUAUCGUUCUCUUUUUAUUUUCUCAUUCAAUUUGGUGAGGUCAACGCAUAUUCGAAUUUCGUUAUUCUUUUUAGGCACAAUCACCAUUGGUGAUAACCAAUCAGUUGCAUGAUCAACUUUCUCAAUUACUCCUUGCUGCUCCAUUUCUUUGAGCUUCUGUUUUGUUUUAUUCAUUCAAAUAGUGGUUACAACGUCAAAAUGAACGGUAAGCCUAUUAACAAAUGUUUAUAUAUUUAGUCUAAAUUAAUUCAAAGGUAUUAUAAAAUUAACAUAAUUUUGAAAUGUUUAAUAACAUUGCGCCACCUGAAAAAUUCAAUUUCAAAUGUCCAGAAGAAUGGAUUACGUGGGCAAGAUGUUUUGAACGUUAUAGGAUCGCAACAGGCUUAAAUGCCAAAGAUGAAAGCGAGCAGGUAAAUAUGCUUAUAUAUUUAUUGGGCGAUGAAGCUGAUGACAUUUACCUGUCUUUUAGGCUCUCAACUGCUGAUUCAGCAAAAUGUGGGUUUAGACAAAUUUUGUCAGUAUUUUAUUGAAAGAAGAAACAUUAUUUUUGAUAUAGCCCAACUCAAUAACAAAUCCCAUAGAUUUGGGACCCAAUUUCUAAUAAAAUUUCCUGUAGGGUGUUCUUUUGAAUCUUUUUGGAUAUGAAUUUUGAGAAGCAGAUAUUUUUCUCCUUAGGUGCAAGGGAAGAAGGUUUGAUUCAAGUUCAACAAUGUGAUUUGGACAAGAUACUCGAAGCCCGCUGAUGAUUUUUUAAAACUUUUUUUAUGGCCUGGCUAUCCCUUUUCAGCAGCAGUGAGCUGGGCAAGGAAAGCGGGGUGCCACAUGUGAUCAAAGGCCGACUUGAUGUAGAGACUGAUAAGGAGGCCGCAUUGGUGGGAACGUAUAGACUCCGAAACUUUAGCUUUGAGAAGGACGUGGAUGUCCAUAGCACUUCUCCCAUUCCUGAAUCCAAAUUGAUUGGGGUGGAGGAGACCGUUGGACUCAAAGUGGUGCGAGAGUCUAAGGAGAGCAUGCUCUCGAGGGUUUUACCCAGGAUAGGGAGAAGUACGAUCGGACAGGCCAGCGAACUCCUCCAACGGGUUAGGUCCGGGGUGUCCUCCACAUGUAUAGACUGUGGAGGCGGAGGUGUGGCCAUGGCCGGUGACGAUUCCAUGUCCUGGGGAGCGGGUGGUGUUGGCUCAGCAGGCCGAGGCGCAGGCAGUGGAGGUGUAGGCACUGCGGCUGGUGUUGUCCUCAGCUCAGCCUUGACCUGUCCGAGGACUUUAUAGAUAUUGCUGCCUGCUCCGGGCCUCAGAUCCAAGAUUUGUUUGAUCAGGCCGGCGAGAGCAUCGCCCUGCGGAGGUGACAGGAGGGGUCCAUGCUUCUGCGCCUUGGUCCUCGAGGAGAGGAGGUCUAGGACCUCCUCCCGCCCAAGACCAAGGGCGUCCGUCCCAGCAAAGGGUAUAAAUAACAUGUACAUAAAAGAACAAAGCUUAAUUCUAAGUCCUAAUAUUUUUUUUUACAAAAAAAGCAUCCAAAUAUUGCAAAAAUACGGCAUUUUUGCAGCCCCCCUGACAAAAAUUCACUAAAAGAGUUAAAUAUUCUAAAAAAUGUUUUGGUAUAUGUAUUGCUAAAUGUGUAACAAACAUGUAUAUAAAAAAGCAAGGGAGAAGUGGAGCCAUUUUGCCAUUUUCAAAAUUUGAUUGUGAAAUAAUAAAUAAAUGAGUAAAUAAGGACAAAAAUAAAGAAAAAAUAAUUAAGUAAAGACAUAAUAAAAUAUUUUAAAUAACAAAUUAUAUAUAAAGAAUAUCUUUUUUCAAUUAAUUAAUUCUAUGUAUAUAGCAAGGGCAGUCUAUACUGAAAGCAUUAUGUUGUGUGUUCAAUUUAAGUGUAGGGUUUUUACUAUUAGCUUUUUUACAGUUUAUACAAUUUUCUGUUUUUGUACAUGAUUUAGAAAUGUGGCCCUUGCUACCACAUUUCGCACAAGUGUUUUCUGAUUCUUUACAGUUUUUAGAUUUAUGAAAAUCAAGACAUUUAGUGCAUCUAUUAACAAGAAAAAUUUCCGUCCAUUUGAUAACUCUCCAUCCAUAUCUAAAUCUGUGUAAAUUAUUUUCAAUUGUUGAUCUAUUUUUCUAUUGUGAAAAUGUGUUUGAAUCAAUAUUUAUAAGCCAAUCAUAUUUGUUAAAUUUAUUUUUAUAUACACUAAAGGGUUUUAAAUCAGAAUUAGUUACAUUUAAACUUUCUUUGAAAUAAUCUAUUAUCUGUUCUUUGCCAAAAUCUUCUUCAACAUUUAAUAUUUUAAUAGUAGGAGACCUACCUUUGGGGACUUUUGGAGUUAGCUUAGACCUAAGAUGUUCAUUUUCAUUUAUGAAUUUUACUAUUGUGUUUGGGGGUCGGUGGAAGGCUGGGUAAACUGUUUGGUUUUCGACCACUAGGACCCGGGUUUGAUUCCCGCAUUGGGCACUUUUUUUCUGUUAAAAAAAAAAUUAAAAAAAAUGCUCCAAUGGCCCCCGAUUCUUGCAAAAGUCCAACCCCACCAGCGAGUGCAAGUAACCAAACGGGGCUCUGGCAUUUGUAAGUGCAAAGUCGAACUGCUUUUCACAUGUGUAGACAUGUGGUGCGCUUACAGUAAAAGCAGUCGCUAACUACCCACCAUGAUAAUCAUGGCCUGUACCACGUGUACUAGGGAUAAGCAAAAAAAAAAAACUAUUGUGUUUACAUUUUCCAUUGUGGGAACUUCUAUGGUGCAUCCCUUUUUGUUUGGAAUAGCAUUUGCUCUAAUUAUUUUUAGAUUAGACAAAGAAAUAUUUUCUUUAAGGAAUUGCACGAUGUUGGUAUUUUCUGGGAGUUUUGAUUCAAUUACUAUUUUUCCAAUUAGAUUAGGGGAACUUUUUGGCUGGGCUAUGGAGGUUGGUGCAGUUGGUAGGUUAGAGGCCAAAACUGCACUGUAACUUUUCUCACUUUUUUCCAUUAAUAUUUUCAAUUUUUCAUCGAUAAGAGCAUUAUUUUCACUAAUUAAGUCUUGAGUAGAUUUUUUUAAAUCAUCAAUUUUUUCUUCAAAGUUUUUUUGAAUAUUUUCAAUAAUAUUUUCUUGAUUCUUUAAUAAAUCAUCCAAUUUAGUAUUAAAAGCCAUAUUUUCUACAUUUUCUGGUAAAACUUUUAUAAAUUCAUUCAUAUCUGUUUGAAUUAAAUUUAAAAUCUUUUUUUGAGCAUCCAUUUUCGGAUUUUUGGCAUUUAAGAAUGUGGAAAUAUUUCCCAUAAGUGUUUCCAGCAUAGGAAACAUUUCUCUACCCAAAGAAUUUAUUUCCAUUUUUAAAUUAAAAAGUAUACCAAAAAAAUGGCACACAAAAUAAAAUCUCGAUGAACGCAUCGAGGUCGUUUCUUGUUGCGUUCCGUGUUGAUAGUGUGGAGGAUUUCCUGCUUGAUGAUGUUGAGGAAGCGGAGGACUCCUCGAUGGCAGUCAUCUCGAUGUCCUGUGCAGAGGGCCGAGACUUUGCUGAUUGAGGGCUUACGGAACCCCUAGGUGCCCGCAAGGGCGGAGCAGGUGUCACAGGUGGAGGGGCAGGUGGCGUCUCCUCCGCAGGUGAGGCCGGGGGCGCUGUUGGUGAUGGCCGGGGUGCGCCUGCUGGUUGGAUCGCAGCUCGGGCCGCGGGCGAAGCGCCGGAGAUCUCCAAGGGAGGCGCCGGUGCUGGAUGCUGAGACGUUGGCCUCUGAGGCGGUGCAGGGGCGGUCGAUGGUGGGACGCCGGCAGGGGAGGCUGGUGGUGCCGAACUGGUGGUGUUAACCCGCCCUGCCAGCAGGGGGCAGUUGGCCCUGCGGUGCCCCUGGCCGUGGCAUCUGGAACACUUGAUGCCGGUGGACAGAUAAGCGGGCCAAGCCUCGCCUUUGAUGGUGAUGUCGAGGCGGGUGGGGAGCCUCUCGGUGGUCACUCCUUCGUGGAAGACGAUGAACGCCUCAUGGCGGCUGUCGGUGUAGGUGUAUGGGCCGGCCUUCAUCAUUUUGGGCGUGAUGGAUGUAGUGCGCCCAUAGGGCCUAAGGGCGUUGAUGAUGGCUGCGUCCUCCACGAAGAAGGGGAGGUUGCCCACCGUUAUCCUCUCCGCUCUUUUGCGGAAAGGGAAAGCCCUGAGGAGAGUGCCCUCAACCUCAAGGCCGUUGUUUAUGAGGCGCUCGGCGAGGCCUCUGUUGGCCAGCCCCAGGAGUUGGUGGCCGUUUACCUUGGAGACUUGACGACUCCGGCGGUUCCUCCAAGUAGCCUGUCCAGCGCCCCCAGGUAAUGGAAGGGCUGCAGUUCGGGGCCGUGUUCCAGGUAGACGCAGUGCUCCUCAGCAGAGGACGUUUGUCGCGCCCGGGCCUCCGCGAUGUGGGCCCUGGUUGUCGGGAUCUCCUGUGCCCGCGGCACCGAACGCGCUGAUGAUUGCGUUCGGCGACUGCUCCUGGCACCUCCGAUGUUGGAGGAUGGUGCAGCGGCUGUAGGCGAAUUCGAUGAUUUGCGGCGCCUCUUCUUGGUCUUCACGACAGUAAAGUCAUUGUCUGUCCCGGGGUUCAUGUCUUCGUCACAAUCUGCCCAGUUUCUAAUAGCAAGGGCAGCGCUAUUGGAUGACGAAGUUGCCGCUAAGCCGGACGUGAUGUCGACGCGCGCGGCGGCCAGAUUUACAUUUCCGCCGUCAGCCGGCAGAUAUACAUACUCUUGAGUAUUAGAGUUUUCUUUAUAGAUUUCUCUAUAAAGUUUGUUUUUCGCUGAAUUCUCGCUACCGGUUGGAGGUGGGAUGCUGGGGCUUCCAGGCCUUUGUCCAGCAGAUCCUGGGCUCCUUGGCGAUGCCGAAUUUGGCAUGUUUAAGGAUGCAUUCUACAGCAGUCAGUUGGCUGUCAGAAUUGGUCCUCCGGGACUCAUGCCUCCCCUGCCACAGCAUUCUCACAUACAGGUGAGCUCCUCUUCAAUCAUUAACAUUGUUCCCCCCUACAGCAGACAUCCUUUCAUUCCAUUUACAUUUAUUUAGACCACCAGCUAGCUAUAUAAAACCAAUUACAUUAUAUUUGUCUUCCGCAUCCUCAACAUAUAUAUAUAUAUAUAUAACAAUAAAUAGUUGUUUAGUUUUAUGGUUUAGUUUUGUAUUAAAAUUAUCUUUAUUAUUUUGAUUAUUUAAGUUCAAAUUAUAAAAUUUGUAAAUUGUUAUUAUUUAGUAGAGAGAGAGAGAGAGAAAAAAAAUCCUUUACUUCUAACACAUCAUUCAGUUAAUUAUAUAUUUAUAAUUAAUAACAAUAAAAUUUAACAACGUAACAUCUUUUGCAUCGGCUUUUACACGUCAUUUAGACAUACUCUAACCUAUAUAUAGAAUAAUAGAAGUGAGAAUAGUUAGUGAAAAGAGAGAAAGACAGAACCAUGCACUUUUAGUCAAACUAAUAAUAAGAAAGAGAGAAGUUUUGUAAAGAAGGUAGAUAAGAUAUAUAUAUAUAUAUAUAUAUAUAUGUCAUAAAAAAAGACGUAUUCUAGUUACGUUACCAAUUCAUGCAGUCGUGGAUGGUAAAAAUGAAUAACUUUUGUCCCAAAAAAUAUUUAUUUUGAUUAUUUUUUAAAGCAAACAGUUUUUUGCAUACAUACAACUAACAAUGUUAUUAUCUAUUUACAAUAAAAGUAAAAUUAGGUUGUAUUCCUUUUGUUAAGGAUUCCUUUUCAUUUUAAAAUUUAACUCUGUGAUUAUAGAAUUUUAAUUAUUUUAUGAAUAAUAAAAUUCAUAUUUUUAUUAUGUCAUAUAUAUAAUAUUCUUUUAUUAUCUUUGAAAAAUUGCAAACAUACUUUUUUAAAUUAUCCCAUUGUAAAAUUUUAUGUCACUAAAUUCAUAGAUCAACAAACAUAAUUACUAUAUUGACUUAUUUUAUAUCAAACUACUUAUAUACCCAUUAUAGUAAUUUAUAAGACACCAAAUAUCGUUUGUAAAUGAUUAAUUGGGAUAUCUAAAGUUGUGAGCAAUGUUGAGAGGGGUGGAGCGGUUUAGUGUUUGUUUUGGGACCCAAUUUCUAAUAAAAUUUCCUUUAGGGUGUUCUUUUGGAGAGUUAAUCUUUUUAGAUAUGAAUUUUGAGAAGAAGAUAUUUUUCUCCUUAGGUGCAAGGGAAGAAGGUUGGAUUCAAGUUGACCAAUUGGAUUUGGACAAGAUACUCGAAGCCUGCUGAUGAUUUGAGCUGUGCUUGUAGAGACGAGAUUUUUAAUGUUUUUUUAUGGCCUGGCUAUCCCUUUUCUUAGACUGCAGAAAGCCAACCUUUGAAGCUAGUUGUCACAAUACCUAUUACAUUUUGUACCCAUUUGGUGUCAAGGUUGUGCAUUGAAUAGGCUAGUAUUUUACGUCUAAUAUAAGUUUAUUAACAAAAUUGAUGCGAAAAAUAAAAGGGGAAUAAUAUUAAAAUACAUAUUGCCACGUGGAAAAUUAGGGAAGACAAAAACUUCAGGAGUAGACAACAAUUUAUUUAAGGGAAGGACAAACUAUGAAUGGUAAACAAAAGAUAUGCCACGAGGGGAAUUUACAGAGUAGCAAAAUAUAAUCAUAAAAAUAACCACUCUGUUAAUAAAAAUAAUAAAAUUAAUAUAUAUUUUGUUGUACAUACUCGUGAAUUGAUACGCGAGCUUAUCAAAACAAUCUUGUUCCCCGAAGAAGUUUGGCGAGUUGCCACGCGAAAUAUCGGAAAUAAAACUUUUUGAUCCAAAAUAGGCAUUUUUUAAUAAUAUAUAUAUGUUGAAUCUUGCUCACUCUCUGUUUACUCUGUGGUAGUUGUGACAGCGAAGGUGCUGUCAACUGGAAGUUGGGAUUGGAUUGGUGAAUUUUGCAGUCGUGAUGGCAGGAGUGAGGACACAGGAUAGGUUGGUCAAGGGAACCGAUGCUGACGGACAGAGAACAUAAGAGGGGAGUGAGCUUACGCCCCGCAAUUUACGCUGGAUCAGAAGACACAUCUAGUACGGAUGAGACUCGGAGACACUACUGAGGCUUCCCCAGUCGGUGGUGUCACGUGACCUCUAUUGAGAUUUUGAUUGGUCAUUCAUUACAUCAUGGAAGAUGAAGAAUCGCCUUGAUUGGUCCAAAAGACUGGGAAGCCAUCUUUGAUAGUUAUAGCAGAAAAUGUGAAGAUGGAGCAUUGACCUAAAUAAAGUUGUUUUCAGCGAAUUCAACUCCGGGGUCCUUUGUCUUGGAGUUCUCUGGAAUAAAAGUGUCGUUGACCUAGCCCUAAUGAUGUGAGAUGGGAAUCUUUCCUCUUAACUCUAGGCCUAACUGCAAUUGUUUAUGAAUAUCUAUAAUCGUAUUAUCUCCUUGUUUUUCUCUGUCUGUCUGACAUACAGUCCGCACUUUAUUUGGCUCUUUACAGUACAUCAUGUUAUACAGUAGUUAUAAGUGGUGGGACAUAUGCAGGGACAUGGUAGAAUGACUGGAGUUUUAAAUUAUCAGAUAUGAAGAGCUGAUUUCUGACGCCUUCGUCCUGAAAUCCAUGAUGACUCUUUCGUUCUCAGAGUGUUCACGAUAUAUACACCCUGCUAUAAAAAAUAAAUAUAAUUUAAAAAAAAAACAGAAAGAGCAAAAGGCAAUUUCAUGCCUGAUGUCUUUAUCGGGUGAUGUGUUCUGGGCCUUCAUCUUAGUUGAAGGUUGAGGCUGUUUGUGGUGGUUAUGGUGGAGGGGUUCAGGCCUUUCUAUUGUCUGGUCAUCUCCAGGCUGUCUGUCGAGCCUCACAGGUAUGUCUCCAUCACUGAGGGGCUUUUGGCAUCGGGGUGUAGCAGGUCACAUGAGGUGUGUAGACCAUAGGAAGGACAGGG